GAUAAUUAAGCUACAGCGAUCCCAUGCUAAUGGUGCCACGUCACCACGGUUACUGCUGCUAAUGUAUCGUUAGAUCAAAACCGGUCCAAAAUUCAAAUUCCAAGUUUGGUAAAUAAUAUAAGUUUUCAAACAUUAAAAUAAAAAUGUUUGGUUUGUACUAAAUAUUACAUAGAUAAAUAUGGUGUAGUAAACACAUUUUUAUAAAAUGCCUAAAUAAUUUAAAAUGAUUUAAAACAGAAAAGUAAAUAAAUAAAAGAAAAGAAAAUACAAAAGAGAAAAACUAAACUAACAAAAAAAACAAAGAGGAAGCACCCCCAGUGGGCUCCGUCCCAGCUCGCCUGCCCAACUGGGCCAAGGUCCACCCCCCACUCCAUAACCCCACCCACUCCUCCCGUACCCCGAACCCCACCGACACUUCUCCCCUCUCCAAAAUAUCUCCCCCCUCUCCCCCGAUUANNNNNNNNNNNNNNNNNNNNNNNNNNNNNNNNNNNNNNNNNNNNNNNNNNNNNNNNNNNNNNNNNNNNNNNNNNNNNNNNNNNNNNNNNNNNNNNNNNNNNNNNNNNNNNNNNNNNNNNNNNNNNNNNNNNNNNNNNNNNNNNNNNNNNNNNNNNNNNNNNNNNNNNNNNNNNNNNNNNNNNNNNNNNNNNNNNNNNNNNNNNNNNNNNNNNNNNNNNNNNNNNNNNNNNNNNNNNNNNNNNNNNNNNNNNNNNNNNNNNNNNNNNNNNNNNNNNNNNNNNNNNNNNNNNNNNNNNNNNNNNNNNNNNNNNNNNNNNNNNNNNNNNNNNNNNNNNNNNNNNNNNNNNNNNNNNNNNNNNNNNNNNNNNNNNNNNNNNNNNNNNNNNNNNNNNNNNNNNNNNNNNNNNNNNNNNNNNNNNNNNNNNNNNNNNNNNNNNNNNNNNNNNNNNNNNNNNNNNNNNNNNNNNNNNNNNNNNNNNNNNNNNNNNNNNNNNNNNNNNNNNNNNNNNNNNNNNNNNNNNNNNNNNNNNNNNNNNNNNNNNNNNNNNNNNNNNNNNNNNNNNNNNNNNNNNNNNNNNNNNNNNNNNNNNNNNNNNNNNNNNNNNNNNNNNNNNNNNNNNNNNNNNNNNNNNNNNNNNNNNNNNNNNNNNNNNNNNNNNNNNNNNNNNNNNNNNNNNNNNNNNNNNNNNNNNNNNNNNNNNNNNNNNNNNNNNNNNNNNNNNNNNNNNNNNNNNNNNNNNNNNNNNNNNNNNNNNNNNNNNNNNNNNNNNNNNNNNNNNNNNNNNNNNNGCCCAUCGGCCGCCCGCACCGUCUGUGGCUCGCGCGUGGCCGCCCCCUGCUUCCCCCUCGACGCGCUCGCCUCCCGCCUCGCUCGUCGUUGUCCCUAGACUCGCCCCGUCCACCGCGGCUCGCCCCCCCAUUGGCCGGCGUUCUGGCUGCCGGCGCCCACGCCGCGGGCUGCGUCCGGGGCCAGCCCCGUUCGGCCUCGGGCACGGGCACCACGCCCGCACCCGUUAUGGCCUCUAUGCCACUGAACAGAAGGGCCCAGCCCUUGGAACGUUUAUAAAAAAGUAAUUAAUAAAUAAUAAUAAUUAAUUAUUUAACUUAAUUAAUUUUGAUUAGUUGAACUAAUAAAUUAACUAAACUUAUUAAACUGUUAGUUAAUUAAUUAAUCAGUCAAUGACAGUGGGGCCCACCCCUAAUUAAUUCUGAUUAGGUCAACUAGAAUUGGAUAAUUAAAAUGUGUCACUGACCAGUGGGACCCACUGGUCAGGUUGACCAGUCAACCCUGUUGACUGCUGACGUCAUGCUGACGUCAGCGUGCACUGUUCUGGAUAAUGUUGAAUUAAAUUAAUUAAAAAAUGCUAUAAUUAAUUUAAAUCUUUUAAAAUCAAUAUAAAAUAAACCCUAGCUCGGAUGGAAAUACUUUCUACAUGAAAGUUGCUCAGAACGACGAGACGAAUCCGGAUACGCAGCCCGUUCGUCCGCCACACAUCCAUAGCAUAGCAAACACGCAACUUUCCCCUCCGAGUCAUCUGUCCGGAAAUGCGAAACACCGGGGAUAUUUUCCCGGAUGUUUCCCCCCUUUGCCGGUAUCACUUAUCCAUGCGUUAGAUCACCCCUGGCACCGCGUAUUACCUCGUUAUGUUUUGUGAUGCUUUGUUUGCUUCGUAUUUAUUGUUUCUUCCCCCUCUUCUCUCCGGUAGACUACGAGACUGACGCCGCUGCUCGUGCCCGAUCGAUUACGUUGUUUUACGACCCCACCUUCUCGGCUGAGCUUCUAGGCAAGUCCCCCCCUUGAUCACCAGAUAUCGCCUAUUCUUCUCUCUACUGUUUGCAAUAGAGUAGUGCAGCAUGUUACUGCUUUCGAUUAAUCCUAUUCUGUUGCAUAGCCUGUCAUUGUUGCUACAGUUGUUACCCUUACCUGCAAUCCUAAAUGCUUAGUAUAGGAUGCUAGUAUUCUAUCAGUGGCCCUACACUCUUGUCCGUAUGCCAUGCUAUACUACUGGGCCGUGAUCACUUCGGGAAGUGUUCACGGGCAUAUGCUAUAUACUUUAUACUGUUACAUUACUUAUGAUACUGUUCCAAGAUGGGGGCAGGUGGCUCCAUCCUGGUUGAGGUGGCCCUGGGUUCCCGACGGCCCCCGACCGUUACUUUGUGGCGGAGCCACAGGGCAGGUUGAGACCACCUAGGAGAGAGGUGGGCCUGGCCCUGGUCGUCGUUCGCGGAUACUUAACACGCUUAACAAGAUCUUAGUAUUUGAUCCGAGUCUGGCCACUGGCCUAUACGCACUAACCAGCUACGCGGGAACAGUUAUGGGCACUCGGCGUCGUGGUAUCAGCCGAAGCCUUCGUGACGUCAGCGACUGAGUAGCGCGCGCCGGAUUGGAACGUAAGCCUGCUCUUGUAUUAAGGGGGCUAGUUCUGCUUCCGGCCGCGUUCGCAAUGUGCAGGUGUGCAAUGGGCGAUGGGCCCAGACCCCUGCGCCAUAGGAUUUAGACCGGCGUGCUGACCUCUCUGUUGUGCCUAGGUGGGGCUGCGACGUGUUGAUCUUUCGAGGCCGGGCAUGACCCAGGAAAGUGUGUUUGGCCAAAUGGGAUCGAGCGUGUUGGGUUAUGUGGUGCACCCCUGCAGGGAAGUUUAUCUAUUCAAAUAGUCGUGAUCUUCGGUAACAGGACGACUUGGAGUUGUACCUUGACCUUAUGACAACUAGAACAGGAUACUUAAUAAAACACACCCUUCCAAGUGCCAGAUAUAACCCGGUGAUCGCUCUCUACCAGGCGACGAGGAGGGGAUCGCCGGGUAGGUUUAUGCUAUGCGAUGCUACUUGGUGAACUUACCAUCUACUCUAUUCUACAUGCUGCAAGAUGGAGGUGGCCUGAAGAGUAGUCUUCGACAGGAUUAGCUAUCCGCCUCUUAUUCUGGCAUUCUGCAGUUCAGUCCACCGAUAUGGCCCUUUACACAUAUACCCAUGCAUAUGUAGUGUAGCUCCUUGCUUGCGAGUACUUUGGAUGAGUACUCACGGUUGCUUUUCUCCCUCUUUUCCCCCUUUCCCUUCUACCUGGUUGUCGCAACCAGAUGCCGGAGCCCAGGAGCCAGACGCCACCGUCGACGACGACUCCUACUACACUGGAGGUGCCUACUACUACGUGCAGGCCGCUGACGACGACCAGGAGUAGUUUAGGAGGAUCCCAGGCAGGAGGCCUGCCCCUCUUUCGAUCUGUAUCCCAGUUUGUGCUAGCCUUCUUAAGGAAAACUUGUUUAACUUAUGUCUGUACUCAGAUAUUGUUGCUUCCACUGACUCGUCUAUGAUCGAGCACUUGUAUUCGAGCCCUCGAGGCCCCUGGCUUGUAUUAUGAUGCUUGUAUGACUUAUUUAUGUUUUAGAGUUGUGUUGUUAUAUCUUCCCGUGAGUCCCUGAUCUUGAUCGUACACGUUUCCGUGCAUGAUUAGUGUACGAUAGAAUUGGGGGCGUCACAAUACGUCUCCAUUGUAUCUACUUUUCCUAACGCUUUUUUUGGACUCUAAUUUCAAUGAUUUGAAUGAAAUUAACCUGGACUGACACUGUUUUCUGCAGAACUACCAUGGUGUUCUUUUUUGUGCAGAAAUAAAAGUUCUCGGAUUUGGACGAAACUUUUUGGAUUAUUAUUUUACAAUAAAUAAAAAAUACCAGAACCAAGACACACUAGAGGGGGGGCCUGGCUGCCCAUAAGACACCAGGGAGCGCCACCCCCCUCUGGCGUGCUCUGGUGGGUGUUGGGACCCUCGGGGCUCCGCUGACCCUAAUUCCGGCGCUAUAAAUCCUAUUUUUCAAGAAAAAAUAAGAAAGGAAGUUUCAUUGUGUUUUACGAUACGGAGUCACCGCCACAUCCUGUUCUUCAUCGGGAGGCCAGAUCUAGAGCCCGUUCGGGGCUCCGGAGAGGGGGAUCUUCGGUCUUCGUCAUCACCAACCCUCCUCCAUCACCAAUUCCGUGAUGCUCCCCACCGGGCGUGAGUAAUUCCUUCAUAGGCUCGCUGGUCGGUGAGGAGUUGGAUGAGAUUCAUCAUGUAAUCGAGUUAGUUUUGUUAGGGCUUGAUCCCUAGUAUCCAGUAUGUUCUGAGAUUGAUGUUUCUAUGACUUUGCUAUGCUUAAUGCUUGUCACUAGGGCCCGAGCGCCAUGAUUUCAGAUCUAUGUUCUAGCACUGGUGCGCGUCGGUGCUAUAUAAACCGUUUUUAACCCCUUUCCACGAUGGCAUUUGGAACCGUCGCCAAGUGAGUGUGGGCGAUAGGGGGGUCCUUCCCACACGAGCCAGAAACCGUCGGGGAUAGGGCCCCUACAGUACUCCUACUCGUUUCUGCUCGCAUUGCCAUCGCUGUCCAUAUUCUGUGGUACUACGUUUACGAUGCGCGGCCCAUCACAAACGGUUCACUAUUAUAGAACGUGUAUGAUGCGCGGCCCAUCACAAAUGGUUCACUGUUAAGAAGAUUAGCUAAUCGUCGUACGAGUGUCGGACAGGAUUACGAAACGUCGGACCGUCAUAACAUCGUCGUACACGACAACUAUCGCACAUGCUAUUCUGUGGUGCAACAUUUACGAUGCAUACUUCAUCAGAAACAGUUCAUGGUUGCGAAUCGUGUACGAUAAGGCAACUAACACAAGCGUUUAGUUUCCCCGCACCGUUUGUGAUAUUGUCUGACAUCGCACACGCUUUGCAAACGACAACUGUGUGCAUGCUUGCACACGUUUCCUCUCUGUGAACCGCCUCGGAUUAUGGUGCAUAUCGCAAACGUUUGUGUUUUACCAACCGUGUGUGCUGUAACAACCUGGAGAGCGUAAUUUUACCAUAAUUUUAUUGCUACUUUUUCAAAUUGUACCAGAUUUGGAUAUGAAUUUGAAUUUGAAAGUGCGCUACAACUUUAUUCAUAUCCAUCAGGUUCAAACAACCAAUGCAUUAUUCGAUUCAUAGGUACAUAUGUUCAAGAAUUACAUAAGAACCAAAUAAAGAAUGAUGAACCACAGUUGUAUACAUGUACUAUUAAAGACGGUAAAGAAAGAGGCAAAAUAUAUUCUGGUUGCUGAACAAGGUGAAGCGGAAUGCCCAUAUUGUGCCCUCCUCCAUGCAGAAGGCACGCACGACUCUAGUCCAACCCCUUGUGAUGGCCGACCACCCAUACUUCACGGUCUUCAUGAAAACAUCUAGAUAAUCAUCGUGUUCUGGUAGAAAUACUUUAGCCUUUGCAUGCCCACCAAUCAUGUAGUUUGAGAGGUAAUCUUGAGUAAAGUGCUUUGGCAACCACUGCAAAGGAAAAAGAUUCCGACAUUCUCAUCUAACACAACUCAUUAUAGGCAGUAGAAAGAAGGCUGCAGAGUUAUUACUUACCAUCCUGCAGUUUGUUGUUGUCUUGGAUAAAGUGUAAACAAAUAGUUUAAUUGCCAUCUUUGGACCCAUUUUACUAACAAUCUUUAUCAGCUUCCUCACUUGAUGCUGGUUCAUCGGUAUCUCAUUGCCCCAUACGCAGAAAGUGUCAAAGCGCGGAUCUUUACCAAUGACAUAUGUACCUAAAAGCACCAAGUUAAUAUUAGAAGCUAAACAACAAUUGCACAAUGAUGUAGUACAACACUCUUUUAUAAUAUGUCUAUAUACAUCCGUAUGUGGCAGUCCAUUUGAAAUCUCUAAAAAGACAAAUAUUUGGGAACGGAGGGAGUAUCUUAUAACAUCCAAUAUACUCACAUAUUAGAUGAAUUAACAUCUUAUAUUAUGGGCGGAAGGAGUUUAGUGCAUUCUUACAAAUUAUCGGCUGAUUAACUGUUGCUGUACCCAUGGGUUACAGUUAGUUUGAGCUAGUUCGGGCUCAAAUAGCCCUAAAGUAUAUCUAAACAUGAGGGCUAGUUUGAGCUAGUUGCAUCUAUAACCCACCCAAAAAACUAUCCAACCCAAGAGGUGCUAAUUGGAGCUAGUUCUCCUAGUGCAUUUAUUGUUAAUCUAACCCUGCCAUCCAAACAACUCUUUGGAUGGAGUUAGUUCAGGGUUAGUCAUGGUCUAGAAACUAACUCUAACCUCUAGCUAAGUUGAGUAUCCAAACAGGGUUGUGUUGUUGUUGCUACAGCUCCUCUUCUACGUAUAUCUAGACAUCAUUAGAACAUUAAUGUAACACUCUUCCUUGUUGCUAUGUAGCCUAGGAUUGCAUAUUUAGACAUUAAGUACAGUGCAUGUUGCUAUGUAGCCUCAGAUAUAUUACAUAUGGCCCUAGUUAACCUAACGAUAAAUGGAUUGCAGAUAUAUUCAGUUAAAAGUCCGAUUCACCGAUUAGUCCCUUAUCAGUCGCCGGCCUAUAUGGUAACACCUACCGAUAUCCUGAAUAGUGAGCAGAUAUAAGCCAUGGGAUGAAACUAACCUCGAUGGAAAACAGCAGUCGUUCCCAAAAUUGUCCUGUGUAGGUACAUCGAGAAGCAUGUUAAGCACAACAGGCUAAACAUCAACCAAAAUUAUCCAUGGCAGACAAAAUAAUCUCCAAAGAUAGCUUCAGUGUGCAGGUUUAAGCACGCUAGUAAAGCAAAACAAGUGGAAAGGUGUGCUAACUGCAACAUGCCUAACAUUUAACAACAAGCAAACAUAGUCACUCAAACUGGUAUUGUGCCGGUCUAAGUACACUGGUUAUUGUUAAAUAAAAAUGGAAAGGCGCGUUAACUACAAGAUGCAGCAACCAAAUGUAGUCAUUCAUAGUGGUAUUGUUGAAACUGGUACUGAUGAAAUUGAACUGCACAGUUCGUACUUGCACAUAUAGAACAUCACAUUGUGAAUAACUGGAAUAAACAAGGCAUACUACGAACAACCAAAGAUAGCAUUUGAAACUAGACAUAUGCUAACUACAAACAACCAAACAAUCAAAAAACUUUAAAAGAGACAUAUGCCAGCUAUUACAGGCUUAACAACAAGCAAAUAUAUGCAUUCAUAUCGGUAUGUUUAAAACUGGAUUGAUGAAAUGUACUGCACAGUAAAUAAUUGCGCAUAUAGAGCAUCACAUUGUGAACAACUGAAAUAAACAAGGCAUACUGCAAACAACCAGAUAUAGCAAUUAAAACUGGACAUAUUCUCACUACACUACAAAAGGGACUUGACAAAACAAAUCAUGGGUUUCCCCCUGAAGAGGCACGGCAAAACAAAUCAUGGGUUUCCUCACUUGUCACAGAUGGGCUCAUUCCCAUGGGAAGAGCACGGACUCUGGAUGCGCUCCAUGUUGUCGCAGAGGGGCUCCUUCCCCUUGGAAGAGCACGUCUGUAGGGUGCCCUCCCUGAUGUUGCAGACGGGCGCUUUCCCCUUGGAAGAGCAUAUGGGCUCUUUUCCCUUGGAAGAACCGGAGAGGGUGCCCUCCUUGUGGUCGCCGUCGAUGAGGUCUGACUUGGAAUCUAUGGAUCCCAAGCCAGCGUCGCAGAACGUGUCCUUCAGAAAUGACAAAAGGGGCUCGAUGGCGAUGUAGAAUGGCAAAUUGUUGACAGCGAGCCAGAGGAGAUCAGCGGCGGGGCCAUGGAUGAGAUCGACGGCGGUUGAACCCGAGGGGUUGGGGAUGGGCCACUUAACCUGUGACAUAGCGGGCCUCGGGCCAUCGCUGUCGAUGACCUCGAUGCCGUAGCCGGCGGCCGAGACAUGCCCGCAUACUCUAGCCCGCUUCUUGAGUGCCUGCCGCCAGUAAUGGUCGUCAGCUUCCUUGGAGACAUCGGGUGAAGAGACCGCUAUACACCUCUUUUGGGCCAGUCGCUCCUCGAGCUCCACAUGAAGCGUAGCCGGGCUUAGGCUGCGACGCUCUGGAGUGGGGGAUGGGGCUGGGGAUCUGUGGGAAAGGGGGCGUUUGGCAGGCGUCAUCUAAGAAACUCAGGGCGGCCUGGGUAUGGAGAUAAGUGGGUAAGCUGCACGGGCAAACCGGCAGAUGUUGACAAUGGAGGCCUUGCGGCGGCGGCGGCGGGGACCUUGCUAGGGUUUCGAGCGAGGGAGGGUGUGUGUGUGUGCGCACACCCGAGGAGGUUUUGGUGUGUGUGUGUGUGUGUGUGUGUGUGUGGAGGGGGGCGCGGGGUGUUUGAGGUAAUGACGCGGGUACUGAAAAUUUUACUACGUGGGAGUCAAACGCGGGAGUGAAAUGCCAGGCUAUUGAAAAUUUUGAUGAUAGUGCAUCACACACGGUCCGAAGAUAACAACCAUGCGUUAUGAAACAGAAAAACCCUUGAGGCGGGCAGAUAUUUUCUAGGGAUGCAAGCGGGAUUGGGAAUAAGAAACAUCGCACACGGUCCGGAGAUAACAACCGUGUGUUAUGAAACAGAAAAACCCUCGAGGCGGGUUGAUAUUUUCUAGGGAUGCAGGCGGGAUUGCGAACAAGCAACAUCGCACACGGUCCGGAGAUAACAACCGUGUGUUAUGAAACAGAAAAACCCUCAAGCCGGGCAGAUAUUUUUGAGAGGGGGAGCCUCGUGGAGCCCAAUGUACUAUGCGGAUGUGUGCGUGACAGGGGCACCGGCGUGGCACACGGUUAGUUUGAGUGAAACGUGUCUGUUGCGUCAUCCGACUUGUCUAAUGUUCAUAAAUUUGGCGUAAAAUGACGUGGGAGAGGGUCAGAACACGAACACACUUGCAUGUGGACCAAAUUUAUGUAUCAAAAGGGUGGUUUGAUUUUCAAAUACCAAAUGCAACUUUGAUGUGGCACCUCUCUCGCAAAGCACACGGUAUUGCUUGCCCCCACCCCCUCGUGUCGGCACGAAGGGAAUCCUAAGCUAUGAAUGCAUGCCCCCUCCCCCCAACCGAUGUUCACCUAGCAAAGUGCGAAGUAGCUAGCAGCCCCCCUCCUCCCUCGUGUAGGCACGAAGGGAAUCCUAAGCUAUGAAUGCAUGCCCCCCAACCGAGGUUCAUUCACCUAGCAAAGUGCGAAGUAGCUAGUAGCCCCCCUCCCUCGUGGCACCACGNNNNNNNNNNNNNNNNNNNNNNNNNNNNNNNNNNNNNNNNNNNNNNNNNNNNNNNNNNNNNNNNNNNNNNNNNNNNNNNNNNNNNNNNNNNNNNNNNNNNNNNNNNNNNNNNNNNNNNNNNNNNNNNNNNNNNNNNNNNNNNNNNNNNNNNNNNNNNNNNNNNNNNNNNNNNNNNNNNNNNNNNNNNNNNNNNNNNNNNNNNNNNNNNNNNNNNNNNNNNNNNNNNNNNNNNNNNNNNNNNNNNNNNNNNNNNNNNNNNNNNNNNNNNNNNNNNNNNNNNNNNNNNNNNNNNNNNNNNNNNNNNNNNNNNNNNNNNNNNNNNNNNNNNNNNNNNNNNNNNNNNNNNNNNNNNNNNNNNNNNNNNNNNNNNNNNNNNNNNNNNNNNNNNNNNNNNNNNNNNNNNNNNNNNNNNNNNNNNNNNNNNNNNNNNNNNNNNNNNNNNNNNAAGUAGCUAGCAGCCCCCCUCCCUCGUGUCGGCAUGAAGGGAAUCCUAAGCUAUGAAUGCAUGCGCCCCCAACUGAGGUUCACCCUAGCAAAGUGCGAAGUAGCUAGCAGCCCCCUCCCUCGUGUCGGUACGAAGGGAAUCCUAAGCUAUGAAUGCAUGCCCCCCAACCGAGGUUCACCUAGCAAAGUGCGAAGUAGCAACCCCCCACACACACACACACACUUUCAGUCGGCGGGCCAGAGAGGCAUAUCUCACCAAGAUGGAUCGUAAAACAGACCAAGAAUAAUCCACCUUGGUCGUACAACCUCUCUCUUGUUGUUUGUCAAAGUGAUGGCCAUCCAUGCAACCCCGGAGAUGGGCUAGCUCGCCAAUAAUCACGCAAGUAGCUAGUCCCCGAAGACAACCACUGCAUGCGUGUGGCCCAAACAUAUGUAUGGAGAGGUGUGUUUUUAGUAACAAUGGAGCAACUUUGAUGUGGCACCGUGAUUUCGAACUAGAAAUCCACACACUGAGUGAGGGUUAGGUUGACGAUGCAUAUGUAUGUUACACCAUACUUCAAGCCAACGAUGGGGAUUCAUGCAUGCAUGCGUGCAUAGUAUAUGCGCUCAAACUUAAGGUUUGAAUCUCACCAUGACCUACACUACGAUAACACGAACCAAAUAAAGAAUCCGCCAUGGUAACCUAUCUUGUUGUUGGUCAAGGUGAUCAUGGAUGUCCACGCGGGCCCUUCUCACCGAUAACCACGUGAGGGAGUGUACCGUUCGAAGGCAACUGCUACCUCUUGAGCACUGCGUUGGUUUUCCCUUGAAGAGGAAAGGGUGAUGUAGUAACGUAGCGUAAGUAUUUCCCUCAGUUUUUGAGAACCAAGGUAUCAAUCCAGUAGGAGACCACGCGCGAGUCCUACGCACCUACACAAACAAAUAAGAACCUCGCAACCAACGCGAUAAAGGGGUUGUCAAUCCCUUCAUGGUCACUUACGAGAGUGAGAACUGAUAGAUAUGAUAAGAUAAUAUUUUUGGUAUUUUUAUGAUAAAGAGUAAAAGUAAAGAUUGCAAAAUAAAAUAAACAGCGCCAGAAAUAGCUAGUUGACGGUAGAUUAAUAUGAUGGAAAAUAGACCCGGGGGCCAUAGGUUUCACUAGUGGCUUCUCUCAAGAGCAUAAGUAUUACGGUGGGUAAACGAAUUACUGUCAAGCAAUUGAUAGAAUUGAGCAUAGUAUGAGAAUAUCUAGGUAUGAUCAAGUAUAUAGGCAUCACGUCCGUGACAAGUAGACCGAAACGAUUCUGCAUCUACUACUAUUACUCCACACAUCGACCGCUAUCCAGCAUGCAUCUAGAGUAUUAAGUUCAUAAGAACAGAGUAAUGCUUUAAGUAAGAUGACAUGAUGUAGAGGGAUAAACUCAUGCAAUAUGAUAUAAACCCCAUCUUUUUAUCCUCGAUGGCAACAAUACAAUACGUGCCUUGCUGCCCCUGCUUGGGAAAGGACACCGCAAGAUUGAACCCAAAGCUAAGCACUUCUCCCAUUGCAGGAAAGAUCAAUCUAGUAGGCCAAACCAAACUGAUAAUUCAAAGAGACUUGCAAAGAUAACCAAUCAUACAUAAAAGAAUUAAGAGGAGAUUCAAAUAUUGUUCAUAGAUAAUCUUGAUCAUAAACCCACAAUUCAUCGGAUCUCGACAAACACACUGCAAAAGAAGAUUACGUCGAAUAGAACUCCAAGAGAAUCGAGGAGAACUUUGCUUUGAGAUCCAAAGAGAGAGAAGAAGCCAUCUAGCUAAUAACAAUGGACCCGAAGGUCUGAGGUAAACUACUCACACAUCAUCGGAGAGGCUAUGGUGUUGAGGUAGAAGCCCUCCGCGAUCAAUGCCCCCUUCGGCGGAGCGCCGAAAAAGGCCCCAAGAUGGGAUCUCACGGGUACAGAAGGUUGCGGCUGUGGAAAUAGGGUUUUUGCUCCGUAUAUGAUGAUUCCAGGGUAUAUGGGUAUAUAUAGGAGGAAUAAGUACGUCGGUGGAGCAACAAGGGGCCCACGAGGGUGGAGGGCGCGCCUGGGGGAGGUGGGCGCGCCCCCCUGCCUCUUGCCUUCCUCGUUGAUUGCUUUACAUAGACUCCAAGUCCUCUGGAUCACGUUUGUUCCGAAAAUCACGUUCCCGAAGGUUUCAUUCCGUUUGGACUCCGUUUGAUAUUAUUUUCCGUCAAAACACUGAAAUAGGCAAAAAAACAGCACUUUGGGUUUGGCCUCCGGUUAAUAGGUUAGUCCCAAAAAUAAUAUAAAAUUGUAUAAUAAAGCCCAUUAAACAUCCAAAACAGAAUAUAAUAUAGCAUGGAACAAUAAAAAAAUAUAGAUACGUUGGAGACGUAUCAAGCAUCGCCAAGCUUAAUUCCUGCUCUUCCUCAAGUAGGUAAAUGAUAAAACAGAAUUUUGGAUGUGGAAUGCUACUUAGCAUAAUUUUCAAUGUAAUUCUCUUAUUUGUGGUAUGAAUAUUUAGAUCCGAAAGAUUCAAGAUAAAAGUUUAAUAUUGACAUAAAAAUAAUAAUACUUCAAGCAUACUAACUAAGCAAUUAUGUCUUCUCAAAAUAACAUGGUCAAAGAAAGUUAUCCCUACAAAAUCAUAAAGUCUGGCUAUGCUCUAUUUUCACCACACAAAAUAUUUAAAUCAUACACAACCCCGAUGACAAGCCAAGCAAUUGUUUCAUACUUUUGGUGUUCUCAGACUUUUUCAAUCUUCACGCAAUACAUGAGCGUGAGCCAUGGAUAUAGCACUAUAUGUGGAAUAGAAUGGUGGUUGUGGAGAAGACAAAAAGGAGAAGAUAGUCUCACAUCAACUAGGCGUAUCAACGGGCUAUGGAGAUGCCCAUUAAUAGAUAUCAAUGUGAGUGAGUAGGGAUUGCCAUGCAAAGGAUGCACUAGAGCUAUAAAUGUAUGAAAGCUCAACAAUGGAAACUAAGUGGGUGUGCAUCCAACUCGCUUGCUCAUGAAGACCUAGGGCAUUUUGAGGAAGCCCGUCAUUGGAAUAUACAAGCCAAGUUCUAUAAUGAAAAAUUCCCACUAGUAUAUGAAAGUGAUAUCAUAGGAGACUCUCUAUCAUGAAGAUCAUGGUGCUACUUUAAAGCAAAAGUGUGGUAAAAGGAUAGUAACAUUGUCCCCUCUCUCUUUUCUCUCUUUUUUAUUUGGGCCCUUUUUUCUUUUUUUAUGGCCUCUUUUUUAUUAUUAUUUUUCGUUCGGAGUCUCAUCCCGACUUGUGGAGGAAUCAUAGUCUCCAUCAUCCUUUCCUCACUGGGACAAUGCUCUAAUAAUGAUGAUCGUCACACUUUUAUUUACUUACAACUCAAGAAUUACAACUCAAUACUUAGAACAAAAUAUGACUCUAUGUGAAUGCCUCCGGCGGUGUACCGGGAUAUGCAAUGAAUCAAGAGUGACAUGUAUGAAAGAAUCAUGAACGGUGGCUUUACCACAAAUACGAUGUCAACUACAUGAUCACGCAAGGCAAUUAUGACAAUGAUGAAGCGUGUCAUAGUAAACGAAACGGUGGUAAGUUCCAUGGCAAUAUAUCUCGGAAUGGCUAUGGAAAUGCCAUGAUAGGUAGGUAUGGUGGCUGUUUUGAGGAAGGUAUAUGGUGGGUGUAUGAUACCGGCGAAAAGUGCGCGGUAUUAGAGAAGUUGGCAAUGGUGGAAGGACGAGAGUGCGUAUAAUCCAUGGACUCAACAUUAGUCAUAAAGAACUCAUAUACUUGUUGCAAAAAUCUACAAGUUAUCAAAGCAAAGUAUUAUGCGCAUGCUCCUAGGGGGAUAGAUUGGUAGGAAAAGACCAUCGCUCGUCCCCGACCGCCACUCAUAACGAGGACAAUCAAUAAAUAAAUCAUGCUCCGACUUCAUCACAUAAUGGUUCACCAUACGUGCAUGCUACGGGAAUCACACACUUUAACACAAGUAUUUCUCAAAUUCAUAAACACUCAACUAGCAUGACUCUAAUAUCACCAUCUUCAUAUCUCAAAACAAUUAUCAAGCAUCAAACUUCUCAUAGUAUUCAACACACUCAUAAGAAAAAAAUUUACUAAUCUUGGAUGCCUAUCAUAUUAGGACCAAUUUUUAUGAUUAAAGCAAAUUACCAUGUUGUUUUGUAGGACUCUCAAAAUAAUAUAAGUGAAGCAUGAGAGAACAAAAAUUUCUAUAAAACAGAUCCACCACCGUGCUCUAAAAGAUAUAAGUGAAGCACGAGAGCAAAAACUAUAUAGCUCAAAAGAUAUAAGUGAAGCACAUAGAGUAUUCUAAUAAAUUCCGAAUCAUGUGUGUCUCUCUCAAAAGGUGUGUACAUCAAGGAUGAUUGUGGUAAACUAAAAAGCAAAGACUCAAAUCAUACUCCAAGCAAAACACAUAUCAUGUGGUGAAUAAAAAUAUAGCUCCAACUAAAGUUACCGAUAGACGAAGACGAAAGAGGGGAUGCCUUCCGGGGCAUCCCCAAGCUUUGACUUUUUGGUGUCCUUAGAUUACCUUGGGGUGCCAUGGGCAUGCCCAAGCUUAGGCUCUUGCCACUCCUUGUUCCAUAAUCCAUCAAAUCUUUACCCAAAACUUGAAAACUUCACAACACAAAACUCAACAGAAAAUCUCGUGAGCUCCGUUAGCGAAAGAAAACAAAACACCACUUCAAGGUACUGUAUUGAACUCAUUAUUUAUUUAUAUUGGUGUUAAACCUACUGUGUUCCAACUUCUCUAUGGUUUAUAAACUAUUUUACUAGCCAUAGAUUUAUAAAAAUAAGAAAACAACACACGAAAAACAGAAUCUGUCAAAAACAGAACAGUCUGUAGUAAUCUGUAACUAACGCAAAUUUCUGGAACUCAGAAAAAUCUACCAAAAUAGUAAGACCUAGACAAUUUGUUUAUUGAUCUACUGCAAUUGGAAUCAGUAUUUUAUCAUGUUCUGGUGAUUUUUAACAAUUGUUUUCGUGAACAGAAAGUUUCUGGAAUUUUCAGCAAGAUCAAAUAACUAUCAUCCAAGAAGAUCCUAUAGGUUUAACUUGGCACAAACACUAAUUAAAACAUAAAAAAAAUAUAACCAGAGGCUAGAUAAAAUAUUUAUUCCUAAACAGAAGCAAAAAGCAAAAAACUAAAAUAAAAUUGGGUUGCCUCCCAACAAGCGCUAUCGUUUAACGCCCCUAGCUAGGCAUAAAAACAAGUAUAGAUCUAGGUAUUGCCAUCUUUGGUAGGCAAUCCUUCAAAUAGACACCUAUAACCCCUAGGAGUUUCUUCCUUUUUUAUUAAUUAUCAAACUCCUAGGCAUAAAAUCAAGAAAAUCAUUUGUAGCAAACGGUUCCUUAAUGAAGCAAAAAGAUUGGGAUGAACACUUAUUGAUUUUAAAUCCGCAGUUUCCUUACUAGAGGAUUCACCCUUAUUUUUAGGAACAUAAACAAGCUUGGCAAUUUUGGUAGGGGGAUUUUGAGUGUUUUUAACGGAAGAAAAAGCGGACCCCAAGUUGGUGAUAAUUCCCUCAAGUUUAUCGAUUCUAGUAGAAUCUUGAUCUAUUCUUUCAUUAACUAUGGGUUCUUUUUCCUUAAAACUUUUCAGAGUAACUCCCACCUUAGAUCCAUAUUGGGUAAUUUGGUUGUGGAUCUUUUUAUCCAAAUUCUCAAUCAACUCUACAGUAGCAACUUUAUUUUCAAUAAUUUCAAGCCUUUGCAUCACAUGUUCCAAAGUUAGCAUAGUUCCAUUAACCAAAAGAGGUGGUGAGCCAAACAAAUCUAUCAUAGCAUUAUAAGAAUCAAAAGUAUGGCUACCCAAGAAAUUCCCUCCGGUAAUGGUAUCAAGAAUAUAUCUGUACCAAGGAGUAGCGCCUAAAUAGAAAUUGCAGAGAAGAACGGAAGUAGAUUGCUUCCUGGUAGAUCUAUUUUGAGCAUUGCAAAUUCUAUACCAAGCGUCUUUUAGAUUUUCUGCCUCCCUUUGCUUAAAAUUAAGAACUUCAUUCUCGGGAGACAACGGAGAAGAUAAGGGACUAGCCAUAACGACAAGGCAAGCAAGAAAAAAGAGAGGGCGAAUAAAACGGCAAGGGUGAAGUGGGGGAGAGGAAAAUGAGAGGCAAAUGGCAAAUAAUGUAGUGCGAGGGACAAGAGUUUGUGAUGCGUACCUGGUAUGUCUUGACUUGUGCGUAGACCUCCCCGGCAACGGCGCCAGAAAUCCUUCUUGCUACCUCUUGAGCACUGCGUUGGUUUUCCCUUGAAGAGGAAAGGGUGAUGCAGUAAAGUAGCAUAAGUAUUUCCCUCAGUUUUUGAGAACCAAGGUAUCAAUCCAGUAGGAGACCACGCGCGAGUCCCACGCACCUACACAAACAAAUAAGAACCUCGCAACCAACGCGAUCAAGGGGUUGUCAAUCCCUUCACGGUCACUUACGAGAGUGAUAUCUGAUAGAUAUGAUAAGAUAAUAUUUUUGGUAUUUUUAUGAUAAAGAGUAAAAGUAAAUAUUGCAAAAUAAAAUAAACGGCGCCAGAAAUAGCUAGUUGACGGUAGAUUAAUAUGAUGGAAAAUAGACCCGGGGGCCAUAGGUUUCACUAGUGGCUUCUCUCAAGAGCAUAAGUAUUACGGUGGGUAAACGAAUUACUGUUGAGCAAUUGAUAGAAUUGAGCAUAGUUAUGAGAAUAUCUAGGUAUGAUCAUGUAUAUAGGCAUCACGUCUGUGACAAGUAGACCGAAACGAUUCUGCAUCUACUACUAUUACUCCACACAUCGACAACUAUCCAGCAUGCAUCUAGAGUAUUAAGUUCAUAAGAACAGAGUAAUGCUUUAAGUAAGAUGACAUGAUGUAGAGGGAUAAACUCAUGCAAUAUGAUAUAAACCCCAUCUUUUUAUCCUCGAUGGCAACAAUACAAUACGUGCCUUGCUGCCCUGCUGUCAUUGGGAAAGGACACCGCAAGAUUGAACCCAAAGCUAAGCACUUGUCCCAUUGCAAGAAAGAUCAAUCUAAUAGGCCAAACCAAACUGAUAAUUCGAAGAGACUUGCAAAGAUAACCAAUCAUACAUAAAAGAAUUCAGAGGAGAUUCAAAUAUUGUUCAUAGAUAAUCUUGAUCAUAAACCCACAAUUCAUCGAAUCUCGACAAACACACCACAAAAGAAGAUUACAUCGAAUAGAUCUCCAAGAGAAUCGAGGAGAACUUUGUAUUGAGAUCCAAAGAGAGAGAAGAAGCCAUCUAGCUAAUAACUAUGGACCCGAAGGUCUGAGGUAAACUACUCACACAUCAUCGGGGAGGCUAUGGUGUUGAUGUAGAAGCCCUCCGUGAUCAAUGCCCCCUCCGGCGGAGCUCCAGAAAAGGCCCCAAGAUGGGAUCUCACGGGUACAGAAGGUUGCGGCAGUGGAAAUAGGGUUUUUGCUCAGUAUAUGAUGUUUCCAGGGUAUAUGGAUAUAUAUAGGAGGAAGAAGUACGUCGGUGGAGCAACGAGGGGCCCACGAGGGUGGAGGUCGCGCCUGGGGGAGGUGGGCGCGCCCCCCUGCCUCGUGCCUUCCUUGUUGAUUGCUUUACAUAUACUCCAAGUCCUCUGGAUCACGUUUGUUCUGAAAAUCAUGUUCCCGAAGGUUUCAUUCCGUUUGGACUCCGUUUGAUAUUCUUUUCCUUCGAAACACUGAAAUAGGCAAAAAACAGCAAUUUGGGUGGGCCUCCGGUUAAUAGGUUAGUCCCAAAAAUAAUAUAAAAGUGUAUAAUAAAGCCCAUUAAACAUGCAAAACAGAAUAUAAUAUAGCAUGGAACAAUAAAAAAUUAUAGAUACGUUGGAGACGUAUUAGCAACCACUACAUGCAUAUGUAUGGAGGUGAUGCGUGCAUGCAUGUUUGAUAUACAACAUUGAUGUGGCGCGUGCGUCAAAAAUCAUACACUAGCUCCCCACAUAGAGCGAGAUCGGUUCAUGAUGUGUCGUUGUACUAGCCACUUCGACUCGAUGGGAGGGAUUCAUGCAUACACAUGCAUGUGUGUGUGCUCAAAUUGUAUCAUGCAUGUCAUCCCAGAGCAAAAAAAAUAAUCCCCUCCUAAGUCAAAUUAACCUCUCUUGUUGUGAGGCAAAAAGUAGUGAUGGACCAAGCAGGCCCAUAGAUGGAAAGCAUCGAUAUUGCUGAUAACCGCUUAAGUGGGUGCGCGAGGACAACCACCACCGCUUUGCAUGUGGGCCAAACAUAUAUAUGUUGAAUACCCAAUUUAAAGAUAAACUGACUUCUUCAAAACAUAUGAAAUAUGAGUUGGAAGUUUAAAAGAAAUCCAAUUUAAAGUCCCCUUGAAAAUUAUUUUCAAUUUGGAGUUAUUUGGUUUUUAUUCAAAUUAUUUUUAUCCAAAAAUAAAAUAUACAGAAAUUAGGGUAAAAUGAUUCCCUACAAUAGAAAAAUGGACAGAAAUAAAUUUGAAAUUAUUUUGGUAUUUUUAAAAUGAUUUUUAUGAGGUUUUAUUGCAGCAGUAGCACUCUUUGCUUUAUUUAAAAUUUUGUAGAUUUUAUUUGACUCUCAAAAAUGUUCAGGUUUUAGGAAAUCUUAUUCUGAAAAUUUUGAUAUGAAAUAUGCCUAUGGAAAAAAUUUAAUUUAUUUUGGUUCUUAUUUUCCGUUUACCCCUUUUCCGUUUUUAUAAAAAAACUGUACGAGCGACCGACUGCUAUCCCUCAGCAGCAUGCGCAACAUAGCCAGCAGGCCGGGCUAUAUUAUUUUUUCUGUUGUCCUUCAAUUUAUUUAUUUUCUGUUCAAGAAAAAUACAGUUUUCUUUUCUAAAGAAAAGGUAAAAAAACUCUGCGCACACGCGCAGGCCGGCCGAAGGCCCAUGCGGCGGCGUUUCUUUUCUUUGUUUUCUUAUCUCUUUCGUCUCCCUUUUUGUCUACGUUUAGUUCCAUAUUGCCUAGCCUUUGACCCCUAAACCUUUUUUCGACCUAUAAAUAUAGACCCAUAGAGGCUGCAAAAAUCAUCCGAUUCGGGUUAAAUCAAUAUUUUGGUUUGACUAGAUUCACUAAAGAAAAAUAUAUUUCUCCUCUCCGGCGGGACUUCUCGAAGUUGUCUUUUCUCUCAGAAGUCGUCUUUUCUCUACCUUAUAAAGGUAUCUCUCUUUGUUUUUUUUAUACUUUCGUACUUUAUUAUUUCUAGACUAGUACGGUAGAAUAAUUAGAUUAUCAAUUAGUCUUUGUAUUUAUACAUGAGACCUAGAAUUCUUUUAGCGUAAUUAUUUUUCUUCCAUAAAAUAGCUUGGCCUUGAUUUUUCAAAUAGCCAAACUUUUUACUCGUUCAUCCAAAUUAGAUGAAACCAGCGUCUAUAGUUUCGUUUUGUUUUCACCUAUCCAGUGAACCUGUCACAUCAACUUUUUUGAAAUUUUCAAAAUUUGAAAUUUGUUCAGAUUCAUAUUCAAACUUCUUUUAAUCAUAACUUGAGUUUCGUAACUCCGAUUUAAUUGAUUCUUUUUGCAAAUUGAAGCUCUUGAUCUAAACUUCCUGAUAAGGCCAAAUUCACUCAAUUUUUGUACUGUUAGAAAUUGUUUUAUGUUGCAAGAGUCAAUUGCUUGUUUUUAAAGUUUUCCGAGUUCUUUUCUCCGAUUCUUUAGCAUGAUUACUUAUGUGUGGAUACUAUCGCUUGCUUACGAUAGAUUGAACGGAGUGUGACGAGUAGAACUAUCAGGAGUUAUGAGUGCGAAUCAUCUUCAUCAACAGUACAAGGCAAGUUCACACUUUGAUCAUACCCUUUAUUAUCCAGUUUUUGUGCAUUAGUUUCAACCCUCAAACAUUGCAUAAGUAGGAUUGAUAACAUGUGGGUAUUGGGAAGUAGUUGAUGAGGUAGGAACCUAUUGUCUUGCAUUCAGACCUUGGGUAUUAUUACGAUGUGCUUAUGCUGCUAUGCUAUGCUCGUAGACAUGGAUUGGUUGUGAGAUUCAUGAAAGAUGAGAGAGUUAUUUAUAUCUAAGGGUUAACUUAAGGUGGCUACUUUAAUACACAUCUGGAUGGAUUGGUUUGGGGCACCCUGGGGAUACCAGUGGAUUGCCCGGACACCUGGGGAAUCCAGUGUUGUCCAAGGAGAUCCCGGGGUAUCCGUGUGAUCAUCCUAUGGUUCGCCACCCAGACUCAAAGGGAUCAUAAAAUUAUUCAUGCUAGAAACUUCUGAGUGCAACCACAUGCCAUUAUGGGCUCUGGCAUAGUUGAGUAUGUUGUGUGACCUCUUUCAGUGGUACACUAGCAGAUGUAGGGGAUGUAGGUGGUACGGUUUACCCAUCGAAAGAUUUAAUGCUUCUGAAAGACUGUGUCUCGGUCAUCCGUUUCUCCAACAUCAUGUAGUGCGAGAAAUUCAACGGAGGAGAUCGAGUCUUGUGGGGAAAAGUGCGCAAACCUCCAAAGAGUGUACAAACUAAUCAUGAUUAGCCGUGUCCCCGGUUAUGGACAUCUUGAGUAUCUGGUACUUGAAUUAUUGGUUUGAUCUCAUCACAUUACUUCAAUAAUUUGUUGGGUUAUUGAUGUUAAUUUGGGAUUGAGAUGGGUUUACCAUUCUCAAUAUUUUCAACAAAGUUUAUAGUUAAAUAAAUUUAUUCCUUAUUGUAGGGAAAAAUUAGCUUUAUGCAAAAUUAAACUUAGAGCCUCCACCAGCCAUAUAUGCAUGUAGUGAUAGCCAUUAUUCAGCAUUGCUCUACAGUGUGAAAUUGCCAGUACAUUCAAUGUACUGACCUACAUGGCUGCAACGUCUCAUGUUGCAGGAAUCUUACGACGAGUAAGUGAUACGUUAGGGUUAUGAUGUCUACACUCAACUUUGCCGUUGGUGUUCAUGGGAAUCCACAACCUUGUUGUUACUUCCGCUAUUUGGAUUGAGGUAAUAGUAUUUACGUUACUUUAUAAAUGUGAUUUACCUCUGUUAUAAAUCCUCGAGUAUUGUGUGUGUCAGCAUACCGAUCCAGGGAUGACACUUAAGAACAGAGAUUUCGAUCCAUUCGGGUCGGGUCGCUACAAGAUGGUAUCAGAGCACAUAUUGACUGUAGGACGUGACCCCUAGAAACUGGCAAGCCCAUAGGAAAGAUUUUCUCUAAAACUUUAUUUUCAAAAAGAUCUUUUACCUCUCUUCUUUUCUGAGCUUUAUCAAAUAUUCCCUUUUAGUUGGAAAAUACCCUUUCCCCCUUUUGACCACAUGAAGAUUUGACUGAUGAGACCACUCCAAGAGGUACAAGAUAUCGGACAACUAAGACCACUUUGGAAUAAAGAGGAUUUUACCGUGCAUCUGAAUAAUUGAAACUGCGACGGUUGAAGCGAAGACUAGGAAAAUUUGAAGGCUCUGAAGAAUUCCCAGAUUGGUAUGACCUACGAAAGCUACCCUUAUGGAACUUGUCAGACUAUUAAAGCUGCCAAUACGUGAGAUCAAGUGUGUCGGAAAAAAGACCGGAACAUGGAGCGUUAAAAAUCAAAGUUUUUGUCAAGAAAACCCCAAGACAGGAGAUAUCAACUAUGGAAUGAUAGCUCAUGACAGAGACAUGGGCAUAAACAUGGAUAUCGAUGAUGUUAUCGCUCGCGUAUGCUAUUGUCACCGUGCGGAGUUAAGUAUGCAUUUCUUUGGAAGGAUUGGAUGACAAAAGGGCUAAUGAAGCACCUAACCAGCAAAAGAUGGAGUUUUAACCCUAGCUGGUGUAUCACCAGUAUCUAAAGUAUUACAUCAAGAAUUUUUCGGAUGGACCUUCUGGAAACCUUAUUCGUCAAGAAAGUACUUUGUGAAUAACUCAGGACCCAGAAGCUGAAAUUAGCCAAGCUGGAGGAGCAAAACCUUGAGAUACCGGAGAUUCGUCAGGAACUGAAGGACAGUAGGACCAUGGUUCAUGCCAAGGAUGUUGAAACCCAGAAGUGUGGAGUGCAACUCCAGAAUAUUAAAGGACGUCACGAGAGACUUCGCGUCAACAGAAAUGACCUGGCAGAAGAACUUGAGAAGGACAAGCACGAUCGGAAGAUGCGAGGACAUGAACAAGACUUGAAGAGUUUGGCGACCUUGAAGAUUUAUUGACCUUUAGAAGACCAAACCCCUGUUAAAUACCUACGUUAGAUGCGACGAUUGUGAGCUGUCAUUUGUUUGAUGUUUUUCCGACAGCCACAAAAUAAAAUAUGUCUCUUCAAAAAACUAUUGUUUGUAUUGUGUGUAUCCCUCUCUAUCUCUCUCAUCUCACCCCAAAACCCAUGGAACCAAUAGAGGAUGAAUGGGGAUGAGCUUAUAUUUUCUGUACCGAUGAGUCAAUUGGAGACGGACCGAUGGAUUCAGAACAUGGAGGAUCACGUGAAGAAUAACACUAUAGUCGGAAAGGAUAUGAGCCAUCAUGCUCUUCAGUGCUUUGAAGAGGUGCUGUUACUUGGUGGAGGAUGUAUCAAACCAUCAAUGGAUGGCAAAGAGUAACCACUUGGAAGGAAUUUAAGUUGACUUUGCUAAAGUCUCGUCUUGUGUCCCCGAAUUUGAAGCCUUAUGGAAAUGAUAUGAAGAAACCUUGUGCAUGCAAGCUCUGUGGAGAAAUAGGACACAACCAUAAGGAACACAAGGAUGAAUGCCCUCAUUGUGAAGAAAGUCAGAAUGCCCCACUAGGCAGGUAACUUGUUUCUUCUGUGAAGGGACUACCCACUCCCCUGCUCAGUGUCACAUUUACCCCAUGGUUGGAAAAACCAUCCAGCAGAAGAAAGAAGCAAUGAUAGGAGCCCUCGUGGAAAUUUUAGAAGAACCUAUGAGGAAGGAAGAGGUGGAGGACACACCCAAAGAAGACCCAUUUAAACCCUGCACCAAGUCAUGCUAUUCAUGUGGAGAAUAAGGACACAUCUCCCAAAAUUGUCUGAAUGGGGAUCUAGUAGAAUUCCCGACAGAGGAAGUAGAGUAUGACCCACAGGGAAUACAAGCCCUAAUUGGCACGGAAAAGUCUAGGAAGAGAAACAGAAUGUAUCCCCAGAACAACCUAAUUUCCACAAAGAAGGACCUGAGUCAUAUCACAUGUUUCAGGUGUAGAGAUUUAGGGCACUACUUCAGCAGUUGCCCAAAAAGGAAGCCGAGGACCCAAGGAGGCUAUGUAAUCAUAAGGAAACCUCGAGACUCGUCAGAUGUAAUAUGUUUUCAUUAUAAUGAAGCAGGGCACUUUCCCAGAGAUUGCCCCAAAGAGAAGGAAGCUUGUGCUAAAUAGUUGAGUUUGCAACAACAAUAUAGUAGUAGUGGGAACAUUUUCUUUUAUAUUGAGGUGUUGAGUUGAGGCAUGUAAUGGAAAGGCAGGAGAUUGUAAUAAUUUGAGAAUCAAUAAAGUUAGCAUCGUUGGUACCGAUUUGGAUUUUAUGAGUUAUUACUCUAUGAAGAAAGAGUUUUGACCAAUUUCGAGGAUAUGAGAAAUAUGGUCUACAGAUGAAUUUGUGCAUUUCAAGGGUGUUAGUACCCUGUGAGGAGACUUGACUCCUAGAACAGAUAAUGAUAUUCCAUGAAGUGGACUAUGGAUAAAGUAAGUACGAGUUUUAUCUCGAUAUGUGGGAUACCCCAAGAGUAUGAAUGGAUGAAGUACUAUUGGAUAUAAAGGAGGUAUAAUGUUGGUAAUAUGGAGCAAUUGUAACUCCAUGAUGAGUCUAAGUAAUCACGUCUUAGUUUGGUGCCAAUAGAAGGAAGGGAGACAGUACAAUUGGUACCAAUAGAAGGAAGGGAGACAGUACAAUUGGAUGGAUUUAAGAAUUCUAGGAAGCUGGAUGUUGGAAUAAUGAUCAGUUGCCCCCGAUGAUGAGUUCAAGGUUUACAAGUGAUGAGAUGGGCCAUAACCCACAGGCCCCAGAACCUGCCAAGAAGCAAGCACACUCUUGCUGAAGGAAAAACCCUGGAAGAAGUUAUGCCUUUAUCGACAAACGAUCUUAUAGGAGUAACGCAAAACCUGAGAGAUGUGAAGAAAUGAUAGAUGUUUGUUUGGUUUGCAGAAUCCGUGGAUUUAUCCGAACUUAGUUCGUUGACAAGUGAAAUUCUACAAUGCUAGUGAGGAAGACCGAGCGUUAGAAUGCGAGAUUCGCUAAACCAUAUACAAGGUAAUGAUUUGGGUGUGGGAUGGAUUGAUCACCAUACCGACUUACUCUUAUUAUUCGCUUUGCUAUACAGGAUGGUAAAACUGAGCGACUUAGCUAUAGUAGAGAGACGACGAUCAAAACCUUGUUUGAACCUUAGAAUGAUAUAAUAAUUUUUUCCCUUGUACAAGGCAGCUGUGCCAAUCGUAGGAUAUACGGUGAGAACGAAACCCAGACCCGUUUUCUGCAGGGACCCGGUCAAAUGUUGAAUGACCGCCAUGAGAUAUCGAUAGUUGUUUAGUAUUGGCACCAGACCUGUCAGCUAAGCGGACCCAGUCUCAGAAGGACCUUACCUAGAUGAAAGGACAAAAGAAUUGAGGAAAAGGUUAUGCCACUACCGGAAGAGCCGAGAGAAGAAAUUUUCCUGAGAAUUUGAGAAGACCGACACUGUCAACAAUAAGGACGUAGUACCUGAGUUGGUGGAACCGUAACCAUGCUUCUAAGGGUGGUAGCACCCCAGACCCCCCUGUGACGAAUGAUGGAUUUUUGAGAGGACCCCAACCCUAACCUAUUUCUUGCUAGCCUCUUCGAAUCUCGAGGACGAGAUUCAUUUUAGGGUGGUAGGUUUGUAACAUCCCAAAAUUCUAAAUUUUGGAAUGUUAUAAUAAAUAAAUAGUUUUGGUUGAUUGCUUGAUUGUGGUGUGGUUGCUUAUAUGAAAUUGAGUGAAAUUUGAAACUUUUUGAAAGUUGAAUGAGAGGGAAUAAAAUGACUUUCCCAAAACUUUCACUUUGCUUUCUAAUCUCCAUGAAUUCAAAUUCUUUUCAUCACAAAACCCUAGAGUGAAGAUAAUAUGACUUCUUCCAUUUUAAUUAAAUGAAAAGGGUUUGGAAAAGAUUUGAAUCCCAUUUGGAACUAUUUCAAAUUUGGAAACUUUAUGCAACUCAAUGAUUUUCAUGAGAGAAGAUAAAAUGACUUCUUCAAAACAUAUGAAAUAUGAGUUGGAAGUUUAAAAGAAAUCCAAUUUAAAGUCCCCUUGAAAAUUAUUUUCAAUUUGGAGUUAUUUGGUUUUUAUUCAAAUUAAUUUUCUCCAAAAAUAAAAUAUACAAAUAUUAGGGUAAAAUGAUUCCCUACAAUAGAAAAAUGGACAGAAAUAAAUUUGAAAUUAUUUUGGUAUUUUUGAAAUUAUUUUUAUGAGGUCUUAUUGCAACGGUAGCACUCUUUGCUUUAUAUAAACUUUUGGGGAUUUUAUUUGACUCUUGAAAAAUGCUCAGGUUGUAGGAAAUCUUUUUCUGAAAAUUUUGAUAUAUAAUAUGCCUAUGGAAUUUUUUUAAUUUAUUUUGCUUCUUAUUUUCUUUUUACCCCUUUUCUGUUUUUAUAAAAUACUGUACGAGCGACCGACUGCUAUCCCUCGCCAGCAUGCGCAACAUAGCCAGCAGGCCGGGCUAUAUUUUUUUUUCGGUUGUCCUUCAAUUUAUUUAUUUUCUGUUCAAGAAAAAUAUAGUUUUCUUUUCUAAAGAAAAGGUAGAAAAAUAGUUCCAAAUUCACUCAAUUUUGGUACUGUUAGAAAUUGUUUUCUGUUGCAAGAGUCAAUUGCUUGUUUUCGAUGUUUUCCGAGUUCUUUUCUCUGAUUCUUUUGCAUGAUUGCUUAUGUGUGGUUACUAUUGCUUGCUUACAAUAGAUUGACCGGAGUAUGACGAGUAGAACUAUCAGGAGUUAUGAGUGCGAAUCAUCUUCAUCAACGGUACAAGGCAAGUUCACACUUUGAUCAUGCCCUUUAUUACCUAGUUUUUGUGCAUUAGUUUCAACCCUCAAACAUUGCAUGAGUAGGAUUGAUAACAUAUGGGUAUUGGGAAGUAGUUGAUGAGGUAGGAACCUAUUGUCUUGCAUUCAAACCACGGGUAUUAUUACGAUAUGCUUAUGCUGCUAUGCUAUGCUCAUAGACGUGGAUUGGUUGUGAGAUUCAUGAAAGAUGCGAGAGUUAUUUAUAUCUAAGGGUUAACUUAAGGUGGCUACUUUAAUACACAUUUGGGUGGAUUGGUUUGGGGCACCUUGGGGAUACAAGUGGAUUGCCCGGAAUCCUGGGGAAUCCACUGUUGUCCAAGAAGAUCCUGGGGUAUCCGUAUGAUCAUCCUAUGGUUCGCCACCCAGGCUCAAAGGGAUCAUAAGAUUAUUCAUGCUAGAAACUUUCGUGUACAAACUAAUCAUGAUUAGCCGUGUCCCCGGUUAUGGACAUCUUGAGUAUCUGGUACUUGAAUUAUAGGUUUGAUCUCAUCACGUUAUUUCAAUAAUUUGUUGGGUUAUUGAUGUUAAUUUGGGAUUGAGAUGGGGUUACCAUUCUCAAUAUUUUCAACAAACAUUAUAGUUAAAUAAAAUUUAUCCCUUUGUUGUAGGAAAAAAUUAGCUUUAUGCAAAAUUAAACUUAGAGCCUCCACCAGCCAUAUAUGCAUGUAGUGAUAGCCAUUAUUCAGCAUUGCUCUGCAGUGUGAAAUUGCCAGUACAUUCAAUGUACUGACCUACAUGGCUGCAACAUCUCAUGUUGCAGGAAUCUUACGACGAGUAAGUGAUACGUUAGGGUUACGAUGUCUACACUCAACUUUGCCGUUGGUGUUGAUGGGAAUCCACAACCUUGUUGUUACUUCCGCUAUUUGGAUUGUGGUAAUAGUAUUUACGUUACUUUAUACAUGUGAUUUACCUCUGUUAUAAAUCCUUGAGUACUGUGUGUGUCAGCAUACCGAUCCAGGGAUGACACUUAAGCACAGAGACUUUGAUCCAUUCGGGUCGGGUCGCUACAUCACCAUAACUGAUAACUUGAGGACACGCCUGGUAUGUUCAAUCUCACCCUAAAUCGGUUGGCAUGGCCUACUUUCCUGACAUAUUCUAAAUAUUGCUACAUUUGGAUAAAAGGUGCCACAUGCACCAUAUACGUCAAAGGGGAUUUCCCCCCUCUUCUUUCUAUAUUAGGCAUUAAUGAUGUAUUGUUCUUUCGAUUACUCUCACAUUUCCAUGACAUCAUGUUUACCCUAUCUGUUUAAUUAUAGAUUUUUGUCCUUCUAUUUCAACUGUUGUAUAGUUCUUUCAAUUUGGGCCCAUAUUUGCAUGUUACCAUAUUUUGUUUAACAAUCCUACCAUUUUCUGCAGCACAUCCCUUGCUAUGCAACAGAUUAUGUAGUGCACAAUUUUUCCCUUUACAUAGAUCAAGGCUCCACGGAUGUCAUACUGCACACAAACCAUGGAUUUACAAUCGUUGCUACUGUAAGACUUGAUGAACGUGGUGACUCCUAUUUUGGCACUGGCUUUUGGAAAGAAAUUUCUAAGUUUUAUGUACUGAAAGCUGGCACUAAAAUUGCACUACACAUAAAAGGGCCUGGUCAUGAGAUAUAUGCUAACUUCCUCGACAAAAUCAUCCAUGCAGACUUUGUUCGAAGUAAGUUUUCUUUUCAACUAUCUGCAUGUUGAGUUACCUAGCAAUGUCAAAUGAAUUGUGUAGUAUUUAAGCAACCAAUUGUUAUUCCCUUUUCUUACUAUAUUCCUACCUAGUACCUUCUAGUUACCAAUACACUUUUCUAUUGCCCUAUUUUAACUAAAUAUUCCCUGUACUCCCAUUUCUAUCAGAAAGCGCCGCUGACAAGGAGGCUCCGGAGGUGGAGAUUAGGGCUGCCAACAAGCAGAGGCGGGGCGAGCUAGAACCGCAAGCGACUCCAGCAGGCCUAGACUUCAACAGCAGCCUCCCCGAUGAUAUGUUGAGAGUCAUCAUCUCCCUCCUCCCAAUCAAAUAUGGCGCACAGACAACCGUCCUUUCCCGGCGGUGGCCCCCCUAUGGAACUCUAGCCCUCUCGACCUCAUCGACACCCACGAGCUCUGCCAUGGCUAUUGUAAAAGCUUGGAUGCAUUCUCCAAGAUCCUCGGCAGUCACCUUGGCCCAACCAAAGGCCUUAGAAUGAGCAAGUUCCAUUACAACGGCAAGGAUCGAGCCAAGCUUGAUGAAUGGUUCUGAUCCCCUGCCCUAGAUCAGCUCGAGGAGCUCACUUUUGAUGAUGGGCAUAUGCGGUAGCUGUCAGUGUCAAAACCGACGGAUCUCAGGUAGGGGGUCCCAAACUGUGCGUCUUAGGAUCGAUGGUAACAAGAGACAGGGACACAAUGUUUACCCAGGUUCGGGCCCUCUCGAUGGAGGUAAUACCCUACUUCCUGCUUGAUUAUCUUGGAUGAAUAUGAGGUUACAAGAGUUGAUCUACCUCGAGAUCGUAAUGGCUAAACCCUAGAAGUCUAGCCUGUAUGAUUAUGAUUCUGAUUGCCUCUACGGACUAAACCCUCCGGUUUAUAUAGACACCGGAGGGACCUAGGUUUAUACAGAGUCGGUUUACAGAGGAAGGAAUCUUCCUAUCCGAACGCCAAGCUUGCCUUCCACGCCAAGGAGAGUCCUAUCCGGACAUGAGUAGAAGUCUUCUAUCUUGUAUCUUCAUGGCCCAUUAGUCCGGCCCACGUCACAUAGCUCGGACGUCCGAGAACCCCUUAAUCCAGGACUCCCUCAGUAGCCCUUGAACCAAGUUUCAAUGACGAUGUGUCCGGCGCGUAGAUUUUCUUCGGCAUUGCAAGGCGGGUUCCUCCUCCGAAUACUUCAAGGUAGUCCUCGAACACAGAAAAUGUGUCCGGCUCUGCAAAACAAGCUCCACACACAGCUGCGAAGAGUAUAAUAUUUAACAAGUCCCAUCUGCUGACAAUUGUUACGGCGAGACGUUAUGUCCCUGGCCUGGUUAUUAUUACGAAUCGUCGUUCGGCCUCUCGCUACACGUUACGAGACGUGGUCUUUAUUGACACAUCAUGUCAAACAGAGAUCGUGCCCCCUUAUCACGGGAUCCUUAUCAUUACGGGCGUGGGUAAACCAACCGUGUUGUUUGCACGAUCCCUAGGGAAGAGGUGAGCUUUAAGGCCCAUAAGGAGGCGUUCGAUAUUCAUCAUCUUUAUAAAGGAGCAUAGACCCGUCUUUUCCCCCCACGCCUUCCUCCUCCCCAGCCUUUCCAACCUCGAGCUCCAACGCCCAGGUCCCGAUUUCUUUCAUUGCCACUUCGCCUUUCAGCUAUGUCCGGAUCCAGCUCCCAAGGCAGGUGGGCGGCCUCCUCAGUCAACAAGGAAGAUAUCGCGAAGCUCCGGGAGGCAAGGUACCUCACCGCGGAAAUCCCCCACAGGUUCCCCGCCCGGGGGCAGGUUAUCCCUACACCAAAAUCCGGCGAGAGGGUUGUAUUCAUCCCUCACUUCCUCCGCGGGCUAGGGUUUGCUCUUCACCCUUUUGUUUGUGGCCUCAUGUUCUAUUAUGGGCUAGAUUUUCACGAUCUAGCUCCAGACUCCUUUCUUCACAUCUCGGCGUUUAUCGUCAUGUGCGAGGCUUUUCUCCGCAUCGCUCCACACUUCGGCCUAUGGCUCAAGACCUUCAAUGUGAAGCAGAAGAUAGUCGAUGGGGAGCAGGCAGAGUGCGGCGGUGCUAUGGUGAGCAAGCUCACCAAUACUAUCUGGCCGAAAGACACCUUAUGAAAACCUCCAACUUAUGGCAGCGGGAGUGGUUCUAUAUCACCGAACCCCGCGGUACCAAAUGGGUGGCCACACCUGCGUUCUGAUCUGGCCCUCCACUGCGACUUGCGUCGUGAAUUAACCAGGGGCUAGACUGGGGAUCAACUGAUGAAGUGCAGACGCUGCAAAGCCGCAUACAGAGCAUUCUCGAAAAGGACACCGGCCUCAUCAACGUGAUACAGGUAAUGCUAGUCCGCCGGAUCCUCCCAUGCCAGCGACGGCCUCUUCGCAUGUGGGAGUUCAAUCCAGAAGGACCGCGGACCCUCCAGCUAUUCUUUGGCACAACGCACAGAGGGAUGUGGAAACUAUUCUUCAAGACUCGAAAGCAGUGGCCGGAUACAACCGAGGACAUCGGCCUUGACUGGAACCAUCCGGAUACCCCGGUAAGCACCCGAUUUCAGAACGCAACUUGGUUUAUUAUCCCGUAGCGAUGUACUAAGAAACCUAUCUUUGACCAGGGCUGGAUAAAGAAGGCGGAACGAAUUAGGUGUUCAGCUCCACUUCCCGAAAGCUCAGCUGAUCCUGUGCUGAUGAGGAUGUUGGCCCCGGCGCCGUAUCAAGUACUGGCGAAAGAGGACAAGAAGAAAAGCAAAAAGGCCGAAUGUGGCCUCCACUCUAAAGGUAUAUUGGACGCUACAUCCGGGGAGACUCAAGCUCCCUCUUCUGAAGAUGAAGGGGAAGAAGAAGGCGAUAUCCCUUCUCCCCUUGGGAGGAAGAGGACUGCCUCCGCAGACUUGGAGGUGGAGGCAUCCAACAAAGGGAAGAUAUCCCUGUCAGAUGGUUCGGGUUCGGAAGCCGAUGUCGUUGCAAAGUACCUCCUUAAGGACAAGCCCUUCGCCGAAUCGUAAGUGAACAAGGUUGCUCUAGACAUAUACUAUUCUUUUCGGGUCGUAGGGAUAUCAUUCAAACUAUAUGUUUGUAGUCCGGCUCGCUGUCUUCCUUCACAACAGUCCUCAUAGGGAGACUUGCCUCUGGAGAUGAUGGAAAGCGAGACGCCUCCACCAGCUUCCUCGCCCCUAAGGGCGGACGAAACCGAGGUGUCGUCCCGGAGGAUCUCCCAUGACCAUCCAACGAUGCGGGGGACAAUGAAGACAGCGCCCGAAGGUGAUACUUCGGUCGUCAAGGGUCCAGGGGGAGCAGCCCCCACGGGGACCAACAAUGAGCGCCCUGAACUAUCCGGUUUACAGCCGAAGAUGACUCUAGGGUCGAGUAAGCAUAUCCCUUGGAAGGGAGUUCGUACUCCUGCAGCAGCCUCCAGGGAUCCGGAGGUGCCGGAUACUAUAAUGGGUAUGGUAGUUGGAAGGAUUCUGUCCGCCAAAAGCGGAUUGAAUGAAGCCUUCACGGGCCUGCUAAGAGGCUUCGAGGUAUGCAAUGUAAUAUUUUAACCACUUCUUACAUGCAGAAUGCACCUGUGUAUAGGUAGUAGCCCCUGAGACUCUGGUCAGCUUCCACAGGGAGGCGAUCAGAGGAUCAAAAAGAUAUGCUCAGGAAGUGACAUAAUUAAUUUGAAAACAGGCUGUUACGUCAAUGGCGACCGUCCAAGCUGCGGAAGUUGCAGAUCUGAAGCAUAAACUUGAGAUAGCCGAAGAGGACAUUACUCUUAUUAACAGGCAGCUUGACGAGGCACAAGGUAUGUUUUGGGACAGCCCACUUAUGCGUGUAUAAUGAUAUGAGCAUGAAGCUGAAAGAUAUACAUUGUGACAUGCAUAAUUGUAGAUGGUGCAGCCGCGGUUGAGACCCUUCGGGCCGAGCUUGCUCGUGCUAAGGAGCAAGCCAGAGUAAGUAAUGCGGCUGCCGAGAAGGCGGCUGCUGAUUUAAAGGCCGAACAGGCCAUUCGGUGCCAGUGCAAGGAGAGAAAUCUACCAUAGAGCGAGAGCUGAAGGAUGCCACUAGCAAAUGCCAAUCACUCGAGGAGGAUAACAAAGCCAAGGCAGACGAACUCGACAACGCCUUACAAGAGGCGAGAGGCACAGUCUGAGUCUAGAUCGGCUCGGGAGGAGAUCCGGCAAGCUGGGGAGAUAGCGGCUGGUAAGCCCUUUCUUUUAUAGACUAAGUUUGGUGACCCGAAGUAUGCUCAGUUUAAUCAAUUGUGGAGUUCUCCAGAUGUGUUCUUGGACCUGCCGAAGAGUGUCUCCGAUGCGGCGCAGUUUUUCCAAGCGCAGGAAGGACACAUUGCUGAGAAGCUUUUCUGGUCACAAUUCAAUGUGCCAAGGCGUCCGUCGUUGCUGAACAAGCAGAUGGCCCAGUGGGCCGAGCUCCACAAGAUGUCCGGAGCUUCCAUGAAGGACGUCGUGGUCCGGCUAUGGCCAGCUUAACCAAUUCCGACCAGUUAUUUCGGCUUGGUGCAGCAACUUGUCGAUGCAGUGCCGCGUAUCGACGCCGUUAAGCGGUGGGUGUGCAUAGAAGGUGCACGGAUGGCCUUCGCCCGUGUCAAGAUGUAUUGGGCAAAGAUGAAGGCCACUGAUGUUGCAGCGAAUGGCCUACCCGGAGGCAAGGACCAUCGCACUCCAGAGCAUUAUUUGGAAGACGUCCUAGAGGGCGCCCGCUUGAUAGAGGGUCAGUGCUCGUUGGAUACUAUGUUCGAUAAAUGUACCGGAAUUGUGAGAACAAUAUUAUGACACAUUUGAGGUUGUGUUAUAUUUAUGCCUGUGGCUGAAAGUUAUUUCCUCCUGUGCGGCCGUUUUUUAUAAUCUGAAAGUUUGCCAGUUGUCGGCUUCACCCCCCUCGCAUAUAAUACGGGGGUGUUUGGGAUAGCACCUGACCACACUUGACCCAGCGUCUUGGUCCGUGAAGGAGGUGUCAGUGCAGCGAACUAGGCAAUCGGACUAUAGGGCUUUAACACUUUCACUCAGCCAUAGGAGUUUGACAGCGGGUCUAUGAUGUAGCCCUGGUAUGUACGCCGUUAUCCGAAUACGGUUGCAUUACACAGGUGACCGGAAAACGGUCCUUCGUGUUAUAUGGAAGAAAUCGCAAAAGAUUUUAAUAGGUCGCCGAGUGGUUGACCAGCUCUCGCCUCAUCAUGACAGUCAUUUUUCGGCUUUCUCUACUGAGGUGUUUAACCAGGUGAACCGGAAACACAACCACAGUAGUUCUCCCUUUACUACCCUAGCCGAUAAGAUGGAACGUAAGGUAGUAAGCACAAGAGCCGGGCAACCCAACUAUUGACCAAAGACAUGAUUCAGAGCUGGUGCAUAUAAUGCCAAACUCGUGACGCCGAAGUAUGUUGUAGAGCUGUUCGGACUAGUUGGGCAACCAAUAUGUUGCCGUAUCGAGCCCUUGGCGAUUAGUGCCGAGGUGUGUGUGAAACAACCGAGGAAGCAGAAUACAGUUCUAUGAGGAAAAGUAAGUACUGAAGACGGAUUAUGUUCACUGGAAUAUGAUUGAUACGUCGAACGCAAUCUUACAUACUAUAACACCCCUACCCAGGUCAUUUUACAUGCCAGGGGUCGAAGGCUGAGGAAAAAGGCUUUAUACAUGCUUUAAAUAGAGUGUUUGGUCUACAAAAAAUCUUUUGGACCUCCUGUCUCACGUCUGCGCUGCCUUUGCCUUAGCAAAGAGCAUUCCUUAAAAGGAGCAAUCCUUGGUUACUUGGACGAAACCGGGCUCCUAAAGAGUCCAUGCAGGUCUGUAGGAUGAACAGGCUUUGAUUCACCUGUGGCAAAAGAUAAGAAAUAGUUAGAGAAAAGAGAAGGAGAGUGUAGGAGGGCGAACCGUAUUGUAGGCCUAUCCGUAUUGUGCCUCCCCCGAUGACCAAGGUAUUUUAAGUGCAUAAAUAUGUAUGCGCGAUACGAACUUCGCGGGCAUAUGCGGCGAACGACGGAGGCGGAACUGCUAAUGCAGCUCUAAAAUUGGCCAGUCCUGUGUAGUAGAAGCCAGUGGCUUAAUGGCCGAUGAGGUGUGCGGUUUGAUGAGGCCGCUUUGUACUCCGGUUGUGAUGGCCGUGGUAUGCUCCUCGGUACGUAGGGAGCGUUCCGUGUUUCCGUUGAUCAUGAUGACGCCGCAUGGACUGGGCAUCUUAAGCUUUAGACAGGCGUAGUGUGGGACCGCAUUGAAACGAGCAAAGGCGGUCCGCCAAAGCAGUGCGUGGUAUCUAUUGCAGAACGGGGCAAUAUCGAUGAUCAAGUCUUUGCUUUGAAAGUUUUGCGGUGAACCGAAGACGACUUCCAAUGUGAUUGAUCCUAUACAGUGAGCUUCUACGCCGGGUAUUACUCCCUUGAAGGUAGUUGUGGUGGGCCUGAUCCUUGAGGGAUCAAUGCCCAUCUUGCUACUAGUGUCCUGAUAAAGUAAAUUAAGGCUACUGCCGCCGUCCAUAAGAACUCGCAUGAGAUGGAAUCCAUCAAUGAUUGGGUCGAGGACCAGAGCUACCGAACCUCUGUGACGGAUACCGGUCGGCUGGUCCUUCCGAUCAAAAGUGAUCGAGCGGGCCUCCCGUGGGUUAAAUUUUGGGGCAACCGGCUUUAUGGCACAGACGUCUCGUAGUGCGUGCUUGCACUCCUUUGUAGGGAUAUGCGUCACGGAUAUCAUGUUUACUGUUUUUACUUCGGGGGGAAAUUGCUUCUGUCCCCCGGUGUUCGUUUGGCGAGUAUCUUCGUCUUCGCUGUCACUAGGCGGCCCCUUCCCUUUGUGUUCGGCAUUGAGCUUGCCAGCCUGUUUGAAAACCCAACAAUUUCUGUUGGUAUGGUUGGCGGGUUUGUCAGGGCUGCCGUGAAUUUGACAGGGCUGAUCCAGUAUCCUGUCUAAACUGGAUGGACCAUCUUUGUUUGCCUUGAAUGGCUUUGUCCGUUGACCAGAUUUGGAGCCACUGAAUCUGGCGUUGACCGCCGUGUCCCGGGUUCCUAUAUGAUUGUUUCGACGCUUGUUUUUAUUGCGCCGUGGCUUGCCAUUGCCGUCCCUGGCUUCGGAGGUGCCAGGAUCGCUGGUGCUAUUGCUUCGUCGAGCUAGCCAGCUAUCUUCUCCCGCGCAAAAGCGGGUCAUCAAUGCAGUAAGAGCUGCCAUGGACUUCGGUUUUUCUUGGCCGAGGUGACGGGCCAGCCACUCAUCUCGGACGCUAUGCUUAAAGGCCGCGAGGGCUUCGGUGUCCGGACAGUCGAGAAUUUGGUUCUUUUUAAUUAAGAACCUAGUCCAGUGUUUCCUUGCUGACUCUCCGGGCUGCUGGAUGAUGUGACUUAGAUCGUCGGCGUCCGGAGGCCAGACAUAUGUACCUUGGAAGUUGUCGCGAAAGGCGUCUUCCACGUCUUCCCAAUUGCCAAUGGAAUUCUCUGGGAGGCUGUUUAGCCAGUGCCGGGCUGGUCCCUUUAAUUUUAGUGGGAGGUAUUUGAUGGCAUGGAGGUCAUCACCGCGGGCCAUGUGGAUAUGGAGAAGGAAAUCCUCAAUCCAUACUGCGGGGUCGGUUGUUCCAUCGUAGGAUUCCAUAUUCAUAGGUUUAAACCCUUCUGGGACUUCAUGCUCCAUUACUUCCUCGAUGAAGCAUAGGGGAUGUGCGGCGCCUCUAUAACGGGCGACAUCGCGACGGAGUUCAGCGAACGUCCCUAUGCGGUUUUCACCCCAAGUGAGGUUGUGUUGAUCAUGGCGUGCCUGAUAGCCAUCCUCUUGUAUUGGGGCACGUCCCCUUGGCCCGUAGAUUGAUCUGGCUAGGCAUGCCCUAGUGUCCAGGUCCUGCCGUAGGUCAUAGGUGUAGCCCAUGGCCGCUGUCUCCCUGCAUUACGCGCUGAUGCUAUGGGCUCCCGUGCCUCGACGUCGAAUUGGGGUAACAACUUGCGCUUCGGGUAGCUUUUGGUUGGUCAUGCGAGGCCGUAUUCCUCGGCUGCCAGGACAUUAGUCCAUCUGUCGUUGAGCGUGUCCUGUUUGGCUUGAAGCCGUUGCUGCUUCCUUUUCAGACUCCUCGCGGUUGCGAUGAGCUGUUGUUUAAAGCGUUCUUGCUCAAGGGAUUCCUCUCGCAUGAUGAAGUCUUCAUCGCCGAGGCUUAUUUCGUCUUUAGAGGGUGGCAUAUAAUUGCUGUCCUCCGAGUCUCCGUUCCCGACUGGCUCGUCAGGGUUACCCUGCCUCUCCUCCCUAUCAUCCUGUUCGGAUGUUGGUUCAACGGGGGCGUCUGGAUCUUCGGCAUUCUCCGGAGUGUUAUCAUCUCCAUUUCCGGUAUUGUUUUCUUUGUUGCGGCGUGAUUUUGAACAGCGCUGCUGAUGCCGCUGCUUUGGAGGUUUAUCAGCGUUAUUGUCCUUGAUUGAAUCUUUACUGCCUUCAUCGCCAUCCUCUUUUGGCGUGUCCACCAUGUAUACGUCGUAUGUGGAGGUAGCCGCCCAGCAUCCGGUGUGCGGUGGUUUUUGGCUUUGUUCGUCUCCAGCAUCGAUGUCCAUGCCAUAGAUGUCUUCGGAGUUACGAUCGAGCAUGUCGGUUAUGUCCUCGACAGUGGCUAUGAAGUGGGUGGUGGGUGGGAAGUAAAUUCCCCACUCUCAGCCCCUAGUCCGGGCUGGGCGUAAUUCGAACGUUGCCCGUCUAUAAUGACGAGGGAUCGUAUUAGGUCCAGAGCCUUACUUAAAGGCGAGGUUUGGCCAGGGAGAAGAGCGUCCAUGGAGUAUGGCGGGAGGGAAAAUCCUUGGCCGAGCUCACACGCUGCUGACUCUGAGGGUUCGGAGCCAAUGUUCGGAGAAGAGUACGGUUUCGUGAUGAUGACCGGUGUCACAGCUUCCUCCGACUCUCCCGUAAUAGGCUCAAUAGCCGCAGAGAGUCCGGCGGGCUCGGGAAUCCUGUCUUCAGGCCUGGUGAUGUGCUCCGGAUCUAAGGCCAGAGCGAAGGUUGGGGUCGCGAACCCUUGGAAGAUUAAGUCUCCUCGGAUAUCAGCGACAUAAUCCAGAUUUCCAAAACUAAUCUGGUGACCUGGGGCGUAGCUGUCGAUCUGUUCUAGAUGGCCAAGCGAGUUGGCCCGCAGUGCAAAGCCGCCGAACACAAGGAUCUGGCCGGCGAGAAAGAUCUCCCCCAGGGCAGCGUUGUUGUAGAUGACAGAUGGAGCCAUCGAACCUUCUGACGAGGACAUAGCGGAACUCGCAAUGAAAGCACCAAUGUCGGUGUCAAAACCAGCGGAUCUCGGGUAGGGGGUCCCGAACUAUGCGUCUUAGGAUCGAUGGUUCCAUUACAAUGGCAAGGGCCGAGCCAAGCUUGACGAAUGGUUCCGAUCCCCCGCCCUAGAUCAGCUCGAGGAGCUCACUUUUGAUGACGGGCAUAUGCGGUAGCUGUCGGUGUCAAAACCGAGCCAAGGACCGAGCCAAGCUUGACGAAUGGUUCUGAUCCCCCGCCCUAGAUCAGCUCGAGGAGCUCACUUUUGAUGAUGGGCAUAUGCGGUAGCUGUCGGUGUAAAAACCGGCGGAUCUCGGGUAGGGGGUCCCAAACUGUGCGUCUUAGGAUCGAUGGUAACAAGAGACAUGGACACAAUGUUUACCCAGGUUCGGGCCCUCUCGAUGGAGGUAAUACCCUACUUCCUGCUUGAUUAUCUUGGAUGAAUAUGAGGUUACAAUAGUUGAUCUACCUCGACAUCGUAAUGGCUAAACCCUAGAAGUCUAGCCUGUAUGAUUAUGAUUCUGAUUGCCUCUACGGACUAAACCCUCCGGUUUAUAUAGACACCGGAGGGACCUAGGUUUAUACAGAGUCGGUUUAUAGAGGAAGGAAUCUUCCUAUCUGAACGCCAAGCUUGCCUUCCACGCCAAGGAGAGUCCUAUCCAGACAUGAGUAGAAGUCUUCUAUCUUGUAUCUUCAUGGCCCAUUAGUCCGGCCCACGUCACAUAGCCCGGACGUCCGAGGACCCCUUAAUCCAGGACUCCCUCAGUAGCUGCCAACGUCCGCACUCCGCCUCGCGCCCACGCUGCACGUCGCCAAGUUCAGGAACUGCCAUUCCCUCCUUAAUGACGCGCCCGCUCUUAUUCUACCACGACUGAAGCACCUCGAGCUCGUCGCCAUCUGCCUCUCAAACGGUGACAUGGAGCGCCUGCUCCGUGGCUAUACUGCACUCGAGUACCUACAUCUUCAGGCGAUCAAUGGGUUGAGUACCUUCCACAUCACCUCCAUGACUCUCCGGACUAUUUAUGUAUGUUGCUUGUGCAGCAAGAAGACAUCACAAGAUGUGUACCACAGUAUGGUCAUUGAGGACACACCUGCACUUGAGAGAUUACUUGUAGUUGAUCAAGAAGGUCCAACAAGAAUCAAUGUCAUUUCUGCACCGAAAUUGACAGUGGUGAGCUACUCGUCUCACAAAUACUCCGAACUUGUUAUUGGAUCCACACCCGUUCAGGUACAACAGCCGCUUUCUACCUCUCCUUCUACAAAUUAACAUUGUUUCUAAUUUUGAAGAUGUUUGUUCGUCUGUCAUUCAGAAAAUGAUUCCGACAAGCUUGACCCCGAAACUGUGCACAGUGAAGGUCUUGGCACUAGAAUCUAUCGGCCCCAACCUGGAGCAAGUUGUCAGUUUCCUAAGAUGCUUUUCGUGCCUGGAGAAGCUAUAUAUCGAGGUGAUCUUCCUUUCCUGUUAAAUGUUAACCAUAAGGGAGUUCAAUUUUUGACACCUUUUUCCAAGUUAACAAUGACAAUGUACUACGAUUUCUGAAGGUUCUUUUGGAGGAUUUCAAUGCAUGCAUGCCCCCCCCCCAUAUUGGUAGCUUGAUCCAUAUGGUUACAAUCAAUAAGCAUUUCUCCUUUGGAUUCAUCUGUACUAGUUUUCUUAGGGAACUUUUCAUCCACUCCAACCUCUUGUGAAGAAGGCUACAUUUUUCUAGAAUGUAAUCAAAUGCCCGUGUUAAUCAUGUCAGAUCGAAGAUGGCAUGUUAGUGCAUUUUACAAAUCCUGCAAACCAAAUAGGCCUGUAGUAAUGUUCAAAACUGCAUGUAGGCACUAACAUGUUUUCUUCUUUUGCAGAUAAGAUUAGGCCCAGUGGUGGAUAAUGUGAUACAAUAUAACAAUCACGUCGAAUGCCUAGAUAUGCAUCUCUCAGAAAUUACUUUGAACUCCUACCGAGGGACCUUACCAGAGAUUAUAUUCGCCGGGUUCUUUGUUCUCAGAGCAAGGGUGCUGAAGGAAAUGAGGUUUGCCCUACAUUUAUUUCGCAAAAAUGAAUGGUUUGUUGAUCAGCGCCGGCGCCUACGGCAGAAUAGAGUAGGCUCCAAAAAUGCUGAAUUUCAUUUUGGAACUUCAGAUGACAGAGUAAUCGGAAGUCAUCGUGUCAACAACAUACAUGACUUUUCAGUGGCUGACCCCUUUGCAAAAAUUGUGAGGUUUCGAAACCAGAGUGAGAAGCGGUGAUAUUAGUUUGAACCUCUCUGAUAUCCAUGUUCAGCGGAUCAGCGCGAGCGUUUGAAGCUGAUGAGCUGAAUUUCAUUUCUAAUAUCAGUUUUAACCUUGUAAUAUUUGAAUUUGAGCCAUAUAACUCUGGAAUUUGAACCUUGUAACAUUUCGAGCUUUUGUGGUACAAUCGUUGAAAUGGCAUCAUAUGAGACUCGUAUAUUGCUAGCACUAUUUUGACCUUAAUAUGCAAUGGUCUUAGAGUUUAUUAACCAUUCUUGAAUCAAUUUACCUUGUCGAUCUCACAACACACGAUUUGUAUAGCUAACUCGACUGCAAUGUUCGACAUUAUUGCACACAGUUGGUUUCUUCCACCGUGUGCACUAUAGAGCGCAGAAUUAAUUAUCGCACUCGAGUGUCCAUCAUCACCCUUCUGUGUAACUUUAACCUCAUCACCCACGGGUAAACUUACACUACUGCAGGAUGCUACUAACGCGACACUACGAUCAGAGACCCUUCGAGAAACUGUGUGCGAUGCCAUAAUCGCAAACGGUGCUGUAUGAAAACCGUCAAAAAAGGUGAAAACGUUUGCGAUGGAGGAUGCAUCAAACACGGUUCAGAUUUUAGUUGCGUGUGUGAUCCAGGGCAUACGGUUCAGCCCAAUGAACUAUUUGCGAUGAGGCGGAACAAAAGAAACGGGCAGCCUGAUGAAGGUGUGUGCGAUAUAGAGCAUACGGUUCACUCGGAUGAACUAUUUGUGAUUAGGCAACACAAAAGAAACGGGCAGCCAGAUGAAGGUGUGUGCGAUAUACAGCAUACGGUUCACUCGGAUGAACUAUUUGUGAUUAGGCAACACAAAAGAAACGGUUAGCCAGAUCAUGGUGUGUGUGAUUGAGGGCAUAUGCUUCAGAAGGAUUAACUGUUUGCGAUUAGGCAACAGAACAGAAACGGGUAAGCCAGAUCAAAGUGUCUGCGAUUGAUGGCAUACACUUCAUAUGGAUGAACUGUUUGCGAUUAGCCACAACAAACUGAAAUAGUUAGAUAGAUCAACGUGUGUGCACUAGACGGGCACACCCAUUCUAAUUAAAAGAUGUGUGUUGACAUUGCCUAUUGCGGUGCACCCUAUGGUGGAAACGUCACGUACGCGGCCGAGAAGGCAUAUGUGCCCACGUUACGCCUUCCGGGAAUAGUGCCGCACUUAUAACCGUCAGUAAAUUUUGAGCAUGCGUCCCGUCACAUUCCAAAUUGCAAACCUGUUCACACCGAUCAAAACCUAAACGGUUUCCCAGUUAGGAGUGUAUUACUACGUGGUUAUAAAUACUACUACUCCAAUAUGACUGCACAUUCCUCCUCAACUCCUCAUCCACAAAAAGUCAAAAACAAACAAGUCAUUCAUCAUGGUUCCCUUGCGUCCGCCAUGGCCAGCGUGAGUUCUGGGUCAAGAGAUUGCGACCAGGGAGAGGCGAGCCUGGAAGUGGGAGCAAGAGAGAUGUCCCGCCUCACCGCGAUAGCAGCCAACAUGUCCCGCCGCACAGCCGUAGCAGUAGAGAGGUCCCGCCGCGCCGCCAAAGCAGCACAGAGGACCCGCCGCGCCGUCGAUGCAGCAGACUGGUCUGGCCGCGCCGCCGAAGCAGAAGAGAUGUCCCACCGCGCCGCGAAUGCAGCAGAGAUGUCCUCCCUUGCCGCGGCGGCCUGGGAAAAUGCCUCGUGGGCAGGCGAGGACUCUUACAGGCGCAUGCGUGCCCUCGUCCAUAGGCAGAUGGAUCAGAUCUCCAGGUGGGCGAGGUUGCAGGAUGACCUGCAAGCCUCGUUUGAAUAGCCUACCGACAUCAUCCGGCAAGUAAAUGAGAGCAAUGCAAAGCUCCGGGCCGAGCGCGACCUGCUGGGGCGAAGAUCGUUGGAAGUGCGGAGCAGCAGGAGCAGACCACUGCCUUGUUGAAGAGGACUGGCGUCAUCGUCGAGAAACUUAUGGACGAGAAUAACAAGCUGCGCAUCGAGGGCAGAAGGCUGGUGGAGGAAUCUGUGGAUGCUCUCAAGUAGCAUCUUGAGGACAAGAAAGAGCUCGUCGCCGCUCGCCGUGGAGACUAGUUCCCGCGGCCUGCAGCAACGCAUCAAGAAAGUAGAGAUCAGCGAGCUAGAUCGUUGUCUUCCUUCUUCUUUUGCCCUUGUGUCAUCGUCCUUAUAUUCACCAUGCUUGCUAUAAGUCGCAGUCGAUGCUAUAUAGGUCCGUCGGAUCUUACAUCAAGAUUCGUGCAAAACUUUCUUUUCAGAUUUUCAUUUCUCUCUCUUAAAUCUCAGUCCAGUGAGACAUAUAGCCAUGUCGUAGAACAGGUGCUCACGCGCCAUUAAUGGAGACGUUGGGAGGGAGGUGCACGGCGGGUAGCGGUCAAAGGGCUCUCCUCCCGAUGAGCACGCGUAGGGGUCUGAUCGCACGCCUCCCGUACUCAAAUAGCUACCCCACACGGCACCUCCUAGCCAAUAAAAACGGGGACACGUGGCCGCACGUCAUUGGUAAGUCGAACGCCCAUGGUUUCAAUAAUACUUGUGUUUUUGAUUUGUAAUGUGGCAUCACUUGUUCCAAAAUGACUUUGUUGAUUGUUAAUGUGUGGGCCUUCGCAAAUCGGACAGAAAAAUAACCACAGCAUGUUGGUGCCAUGUCAUGAGACCAUGCCAAGUUUCAUGAUUUUCAGGCGUGUUUUGGAAUUACAGGAAUUAAAAAACCAAAUUUCUCAAUCUUUCCGACCGACCCACGACGCCCAGAUGUUUGAAUUUCACUCACAUCCCUUGCAUGGGACCUAGAAAUUCACCCAAGGACACACAUGUGAUUUUUCAAACAACUUUGGUGCAAUGGAGCAUGUGCUUUUCGUUCAAAUUUUAAUUAUGCACAUUAAAUGGCCAAAAACUCGAUUAAUGUAUAAAAAAGGCGAAACGAGCCUAGAAUAAUUCCAAAAUUUAGCACGAUACUUCUAUUGGUCUAAUCUGGCUGUGUAAAAAAAUAAGGCGGGAGAAGGCAGUGUACGUAUGUCGUUUCGCACACGGAGGUGACACGUUCCCUCUCAGAACCAUGAGCCUUCUUGAGGGAAGCUCCGGUUCGCAAGAAGCUUACACCAAAGCUUGUCCCAAUUCUGCCAAAAAUAUUACCGCAGCAUGUUGGUGCCAUGCCAUGACACCAUGCCAAGUUUCAUGAUUUUCAGGCGUGUUUUGGUAUUACAGGAAUUAAAAAACCAAGUUUCUCAAUCUUUCCGACCGAGCCAUGACACCCAGAUGUUUGAAUUUCACUCCCAUCUCUUGCAUGGGACCUAGAAAUUCACCCACGGACACACAUGUGAUUUUUCAAAUAACUUUGGUGCACUGGAGCAUGUGCUUGUAGUUCAAAUUUGAAUUAUGCACAUUAAAUGGCCACAAACUCAAUUAAUGUAUAAAAAAGGCGAAAUGAGCCCGGAAUAAUUCCAGAAUUUAGCAUGGUACUUCUAUUUGGUCUAAUCUGGCUGUGUAAAAAAAUAAGGCGGGAGAAGGCAGUGUACGUAUGUCGUUUCGCACACAUAGCUGACACAUUCCCUCUCGGAACCACGAGCCUUCUUGAGGGAAGCUCCGGUUCGCAAGAAGCUUACACCAAAGCUUGUCCAAAUUCGGCCAAAAAUAUUACCGCAGCAUGUUGGUGCCAUGUCAUGAUACCAUGCCAAGUUUCAUGAUUUUCAGGCGUGUUUUGGAAUUACAGGAAUUAAAAAACCAAGUUUCUCAAUAUUUCCGGCCGAGCCACAACACCCAGAUGUUUGAAUUUCACUCCCAUCUCUUCCACGGGAUCUAGAAAUUCACCCGUGGACACACAUGUGAUUUUUCAAACAACUUUGGUGCACUGGAGCAUGUGCUUGUAGUUCAAAUUUGAAUUAUGCACAUUAAAUGCACAGAAACUCAAAUAAUGUAUAAAAAAGGCGAAACGAGCCCGGAAUAAUUCCAAAAUUUAGCACGAUACUUCUAUUUGGUCUAAUCUGGCUGUGUAAAAAAUAAGGCGGGAGAAGGAAGUGUACGUAUGUCGUUUCGCACACGGAGGUGGCACGUUCCCUCUUGGAACCACGAGCCUUCUUGAGGGAAGCUCCGGUUCGCAAGAAGCUUACACCAAAGCUUGUCCCAAUUCGACCAAAAAUAUUACCGCAGCAUGUUGGUGCCAUGUCAUGAAACCAUGCCAAGUUUCAUGAUUUUCAGGCGUGUUUUGGAAUUACAGGAAUUAAAAAACCAAGUUUCUGUAUCUUUCCAGCCGAGCCACGACGCCCAGAUGUUUGAAUUUCACUCCCAUCUCUUGCAUCGGACCUAGAAAUUCACCCAAGGACACACAUGUGAGUUUUCAAACAACUUUGGUGCACUGGAGCAUGUGCUUGUAGUUCAAAUUUGAAUUAUGCACAUUAAAUGCCCGAAAACUCAAUUAAUGUAUAAAAAAGGCGAAAUGAGCCCAGAAUAAUUCCAAAAUUUAGCACGAUACUUCUAUUUGGUCUAAUCUGGCUGUGUAAAAAAAUAAGGCGGGAGAAGGCAGUGUACGUAUGCUGUUUCGCACACGGAGGUGACACGUUCCCUCUCGGAACCAUGAGCCUUCCUGAGGGAAGCUCCGGUUCGCAAGAAGCUUACACCAAAGCUUGUCCCAAUUCUGCCAAAAAUAUUACCGCAGCAUGUUGGUGCCAUGUCAUGACACCAUGCUAAGUUUCAUGUUUUUCAGGGUGUUUUGGUAUUAUAGGAAUUAAAAAACCAACUGUCUCAAUCUUUCCGGCCGAGCCAUGACGCCCAGGUGUUUGAAUUUCACUCCCAUCUCUUGCAUGGGACCUAGAAAUUGACCCAAGGACACACAUGUGAUUUUUCAAGCAACUUUGGUGCACUCGAGCACGUGCUUGUAGUUCAAAUUUGAAUUAUGCACAUUAAAUGCCCAGAAACUCAAUUAAUGUAUAAAAAGGCCAAACGAACACGGAAUAAUUCCAAUAUUUAGCACGGUACUUCUAUUUGGUCUAAUCUGGCUGUGUAAAAAUAAUAAGGUGGGAGAAGGCAAUGUACGUAUGUCGUUUCGCACACGGAGGUGACACGUUCCUUCUCGGCACCAGGAGCCUUCUUGAGGGAAGCUCCGGUUUGCAAGAAGCUUACACCAAAGCUUGUCCCAAUUCAGGCAAAAAAAUUACCGCAGCAUGUUGGUGCCAGGUCAUGACACCAUGUCAAGUUUCAUGAUUUUUAGGCGUGUUUUGGAAUUAUAGAAAUUAAAAAACCAAGUUUCUCAAUCUUUCCGGCCGAGCCACGACGCCUAGAUGUUUGAAUUUCACUCCCAUCUCUUGCAUGGGACCUAGAAAUUCACCCACGGACACACAUGUGAUUUUUCAAACAACUUUAGUGCACUGGAGCACGUGCUUGUAGUUCAAAUUUGAAUUAUGCACAUUAAAUGCCCGAAAACUCAAUUAAUGUAUAAAAAAGGCGAAACGAGCCCAGAAUAAUUCCAAAAUUUAGCACGAUACUUCUAUUUGGUCUAAUCUCGCUGUGUAAAAAAAUAAGGCGGGAGAAGGCAGUGUACGUAUGCCGUUUCGCACACGGAGGUGACACGUUCCCUCUCAGAACCACGAGCCUACUUGAGGGAAGCUCCGGUUCGCAAGAAGCUUACACCAAAGCUUGUCCCAAUUCUGCCAAAAAUAUUACCGCAGCAUGUUGGUGCCAUGUCAUGACACCAUGCUAAGUUUCAUGAUUUUCAGGCGUGUUUUGGUAUUAUAGGAAUUAAAAAACCAAGUGUCUCAAUCUUUCCGGCCGAGCCAUGAUGCCCAGAUGUUUGAAUUUCACUCUCAUCUCUUGCAUGGGACCUAGAAAUUCACCCAAGGACACACAUGUGAUUUUUCAAGCAACUUUGGUGCACUAGAGCACGUGCUUGUAGUUCAAAUUUGAAUUAUGCACAUUAAAUGCCCAGAAACUCAAUUAAUGUAUAAAAAGGCCAAACGAACACGGAAUAAUUCCAAUAUUUAGCAUGGUACUUCUAUUUGGUCUAAUCUGGCUGUGUAAAAAAAUAAGGUGGGAGAAGGCAGUGUACGUAUGUCAUUUCGCACACGGAGGUGACACGUUCUUCUCGGCACCAGGAGCCUUCUUGAGGGAAGCUCCGGUUUGCAAGAAGCUUACACCAAAGCUUGUCCCAAUUCGGGCAAAAAAAAUACUGCAGCAUGUUGGUGCCAUGUCAUGACACCAUGUCAAGUUUCUUGAUUUUUAGGCGUGUUUUGGAAUUACAGGAAUUAAAAAACCAAGUUUCUCAAUCUUUCCGGCCGAGCCACGACGCCCAGAUGUUUUAAUUUCACUCCCAUCUCUUGCAUGGGACCUAGAAAUUCACCCAAGGACACACAUGUGAUUUUUCAAACAACUUUGGUGCACUGGAGCACGUGCUUGUAGUUCAAAUUUGAAUUAUGCACAUUAAAUGCCCGGAAACUCAAUUAAUGUAUAAAAAAGGCCAAACGAACAUGGAAUAAUUUGAAAUUUUAGCACGAUACUUCUAUUUGGUCUAAUCUGCAUGUGUAAAAAAUUAAGGCAGGAGAAGGCAAUGUACAUAUGUCGUUUCGCACACGGCGGUGACACGUUCCCUCUCGGAACCAGGAGCCUUCUCGAGGGAAGCUCCGGUUUGCAAGAAGCUUAGACCAAAGCUUGUCCCAAUUCGGCCAAAAAUAUUACUGCAGCAUGUUGGUGCCAUUUCAUGACACCAUGCCAAGUUUCAUGAUUUUCAGCCGUGUUUUCGAUUUACAAGAAUUAAAAAACCAAGUUUCUCAAUCAUUCCGGCUGAGCCACGACACCCAGAUGUUUGAAUUUUAUUCCCAUUUCUUGCAUGGGACCUAUAAAUUCACCCAAAGACACACCUGUGAUUUUUUAGGAAACUUUGGUGCAUUGGAGCAUGUGCUUGUAGUUCAAAUUUGAAUUAUGCACAUUAAAUGGCCAGAAACUCAAUUAAUGCAAAAAAAUGCCAUACGAACCCGGAAUAAUUCCAAAUUUAAACACGACACUCAUGUACUAGUUGCAUGUUCACUGUACAUAAAUGUUCUAGCAAUUCAAACACCAUCCUUUCCCUCCGUAACACCAUUUUUCCUUCAAAACAUAAUGAAAAAAUCAGGUAUACCACAAACAGUUUACUAGAAAGAAUCGUGUGGGAUGCGAUAUAAAAUAUCUUGGCGCACCGUCUUGUCUGGCUUAAGCAGGAAGCUUCGUCGCCUACAGUCCACCGCCCCUGCUUGAACCACACUUGCGCGCUAGUUUAUCGCGGUACCGAGCGAAUUUUUUUUGCCACCGCGGAAAUAUCUAUCUCCCCGCCCCCUCCCUCCUACCAUAAGCCACAUUUCCAAUGUUCCUCCUUGCUUUCCAAGUUCAAACCUUCACUGCUGCUUACUAGUAGCUCAGCCUCCUCACCGGCUACCCUUCUUCCUACAGCGCCGCCUCCUCGUCGCCUACCCUUCUUCUUGGAGCGCCUCCUCCUCGCCGGCGACCCUUCUUCUUGCAGCGCCGCCUCCUUGCCGGCGACCCUUCUUCUUGCUGUGCCGCCUCCUCGCCGGUGACCCUUCUUCUUGCUGCGCGGCCUCCUCACCGCCGACCCUUCUUCUUGCUACGUGGCCUCGUCGAUAUGGUCAGGUAAUCCACACCCCACCCACACCAUCCUCCUCCUUUCCCGUCCCACAUGCCCCGACUGACGGAGUGACACCUUCCACUGAAAUCACUGCCCCCUCCAAUUAAGCACCGCCCACAGCCAUUUUACACGCAGUAUAACGUGGAGCUGAGUAGCAUGCGGCCGCACGCGCGAACGAGGUUGCUAUGGCUGACAUGCGUGUCGACCGCCAGAUCUUGGAGGAGCACCUCGUCUUCGAGGCCACCAUCGACACCACCGCGCGGUUGUCUACUUUAAAAUACAGUUCGUGAUGUUUUCUCGAGGCCACCGCCAGUGCCUUCUACUGAUUUGUCCUCUGUAAUGUUAAUAUGCAAUCUGAUGUUCAGUUAACAGUUUGGUCCUCUGAAAUGUAAUGUUCAGUUAACACUUUGGUCCAAAAAUUGCUACAUUUCGUAGUACUGUUCUCAAGCAUUCUUUGUUUUGUUAACUGUCUUAUCUUCUAGUACAUGUUUCUAUUCUGCAAUGUCGUGCUGAGUUAACUAUUUUGGUUCAUUUGGUCUGCUGUCCAUUUAAUUGUUUGGUUCAGUUCUGCAAUUUGAUUUUCAUUUGCUGUGGGUACAAUUUUGUAUUGUUAUGCAUGUGACACCAAUCGAAUUUCACUGUACUCAAUACAUAUUCUACUGAUAGUAUGGCAACUCUCAGUUAACCUGAUCAAGAUCUUCCUUAUGUGUGUUGUAGGGAAACAAUGGGAGACACUGCGAUUUACCAUCGAGGUUUGUUCAAGCAGGGUCCUUUGGCUAAUAGCACAUUAUUGUGCAGUUGCAGGAAUCAUUCUAAUAUUUAGGUUUCUUACAAUUUGGUCUUGCACAUGUAGGUCCUGCUGUUAGAGGCUUAGACACACUGUUCGACCCAUUUUGCAUAUGGGGAAAUGAGAUGUCCAUGAAUAUCAAUCAAGUCAAGAAACUCAGAAAGAUUGUUAGGAUGAAGAAACUUGCGAUGAAUAACAGCAAGAUCUUUGUUUGCACAAUGAAGAAGACAUCAGUCAACUAUAGGAUGGUAUCAACUCUUUUACCUUGUUUUUACCCCUUGCGCCAUUUCAAAAUUUACAACAGCGAUUUAUGCAUAGCUUUGUUUUCAGUACUUUUCAAAGAAGUUCACCGAUGAUUACCUCUCAAACCACCUGCAUGGUCAAGAGGCGAGGAAGGUAUUCAUUCAACACCCACGGUACAAUAUUGAAGUCUUGCUGAAGAGGACGAAGGUUGGGUGGGCAAUUAUCCAUAGCCACUGGCCUAAAGUUGCAAGGACAUUCAACAUCACUGAAGGCUCAAUAUUUGCCUUCCGCUUCUGCAAUUUCCCAGAUGAGAUUCAUCUGUCUAUAUACCGUGUAUGAUGCUACUUUCCAAAGGUUUUUGAUGCUGCAUGUGAAACUUGGUGCUGUUGUGUAAUGGCGUAACUGAGUGCCGAAGCUAUCUGAUGUAAUUCGAUUAUGAAAUCCUGGUUGCUUCUAUAUGGAUAUGAAAUAUCUGGCGUGUUUUAUAAGAAAUAUCAGUUUGAUUAGUACAUGGAUUAUCAAUAAUAGGCCAAUUACCCUACUUAUUGGGGUUUUCUAUUGCAAACGGUUACUCAGACAUCACCGUGGGCGAUGAACUCAAACAACCCGCACGGUUUCUAGAAAGUAGGCAUGUUCGAUCAACUAACAAUCACACAUAGCUUCCGGCAGCAAACUGUUUGCGUUAGGCCACCUUGCACACACGUUUCCACACAAAGAGCUGUGUGGGAUGUACUUACCUACGGAAAUGAUUUUCUGGGAUUCACCGUGUGGGAUGUACAUACCUACGAAUGAUUUCUGGGAUUCACCGUGUGGGAUGAACAUACCUACGGAAAUGAUUUCUGGGAUUCACCGUGUGGGAUGUACAUACCUACGGAAAUGAUUUCUGGGAUUCACCGUGUGGGAUGUACAUACCUACGGAAAUGUUUUCUAGGAUUCACCGUGCGGGAUGUACAUACCUACGGAAAGGAUUGGGUUCCAUGCCUCGCCCGAUUGCACACGGCCCCAGCCUNNNNNNNNNNNNNNNNNNNNNNNNNNNNNNNNNNNNNNNNNNNNNNNNNNNNNNNNNNNNNNNNNNNNNNNNNNNNNNNNNNNNNNNNNNNNNNNNNNNNNNNNNNNNNNNNNNNNNNNNNNNNNNNNNNNNNNNNNNNNNNNNNNNNNNNNNNNNNNNNNNNNNNNNNNNNNNNNNNNNNNNNNNNNNNNNNNNNNNNNNNNNNNNNNNNNNNNNNNNNNNNNNNNNNNNNNNNNNNNNNNNNCACCGUGUGGGAUGUACAUACCUACGAAUGAUUUCUGGGAUUCACCGUGUGGGAUGAACAUACCUACGGAAAUGAUUUCUGGGAUUCACCGUGUGGGAUGUACAUACCUACGGAAAUGAUUUCUGGGAUUCACCGUGUGGGAUGUACAUACCUACGGAAAUGAUUUCUGGGAUUCACCGUGUGGGAUGUACAUACCUACGGAAAUGUUUUCUAGGAUUCACCGUGCGGGAUGUACAUACCUACGGAAAGGAUUGGGUUCCAUGCCUCGCCCGAUUGCACACGGCCCCAGCCUGGGUCCCACGAGGGCCUAUCCCCGAUGAUUUCUGGGUCGUGUGGGAAGGACCCCCCUAUCGCCCACACUCACUUGGCGACGGUUCCAAAUGCCGUCGCGGAAAGGGGUUUUAAACCGUUUGUUUAGGACGUCGUUGUACCAGUGUUAUGAUCGAAGUCAUUCCACACACUUCGUUUUUAGAAAGAUUUUUGGCAAUAAACGCCCACGGUUUGUCCCUCUUCUAGCCGACGCGUGGCCAAACUAGCCGGGCGGGAAGCUUGCGCGGUAAACAGCGCGGUAGCGCGGGAACAGGCUCACCGACGAUACAUUUGGCGCCUCUUCAAGCCCACGCGUGCGGUGCGGUGUUGUCAAGCGUGCACUGGAAUCCUCCGCUAUGAACGCCGUGACAAGACGUGACGAUUACAGGCCGGCCGGCCCCCAUUUAUUACAGCAGCCAUUAAACCCUUGUGUCUCUUCAACCUUUCGAUCGCGCCCCACCAUUGCAAGAAGCACACCCACCACGAGAAAUUCUUAGUGGGUAUCCUGCGCAGCUCCAAUGGUGCUCCGAGCGGCUGCCGACGACGAGCAGCAGUUCACCGUGUGUGCCGUGGUGGACACCCACAGUAGGUUCAUGGACCUCUCGGUGGUGUACACCAACGAUUCGGACUGGGUGGAGCACUCCAUCCACAUCAUUGAGUUGUUGCUUGCCGAGGAGAAGUACAAGGUGGUCGGGUUUGACCUCGAGUACACCCGCGCUCGUGCCGGGUCUCGUCCCAAGGUCGCCGUCGCCCAGAUGUGCGUGCGCCACCACGUACUCGUCUACCACUACUGCCAGACCACAAGGCCUUGCGAGCGUUUCGUCAGGUUUGUCAACAUCCCCCACUACAUGUUCGCUACGGUGGACAUCACCAACGAUGUAAAGGCGCUCGAGAAUUCGGGCAUCUCCUGCCAGAAUCUUGUCGACAUCCAGGGCCAAUACAAGAUCUGGGGCAGCAAGGAGCAUGAGAAGGACUCACUGGUUCACCUCACCGAGGCCAUCAUCGACCCCUACUACAGAGACAUGUAGGAUUCAUGCAACAAGGACAAGCAUGCCUGGCACUUGGCCUGGAUGGAGAAACUCGACAAAGCUCACAUCGUGUACGCGGCCAAGGAGGCAUACACGAGCUACGACAUGUACAGGCGGAUCGUUGACAUGAGGAAGUGCCUCCUUCCCCAAAACGGCCAGGGAUCCAGCCGGAAGCAGAGCAAUGGCAAGCGUCGUCGCAACAAUAAGUAGAUGAUUAGAUCCUCGUUUCUCCUACUUUAGUACGCAUGUAAUUGCUUACUUUGGUGUGUGGAAAUGUUAUGUGUGUAGUCACUUGUGUAAUUGUAUGCUUAAUGUGGUUAUGUAAUGCUGUCUUUUUAAGUAUAUAUGUUGAUGCUCUUCGACAGAGCGUAGAUGUUGUGCGGACAAAGAAAAUCACAUCGCACAUGGACUAAACAAUGGAACCCGUCGGUGAUGUUUUCAUCAAUCACUCACAAUUGUAUAUCAGCAAUCGUUUGCUCACAACACACAUGGCUUGUUAGCAGUAAUCGUCUGUGUUGUUAUCGGUCUUCGCACACGUUUCCGAUUACUGACCUAUUUGCCUCGUAUCACACACAUCUUGUUCAUUUGAACCGUUUCUGUUCUCAUGUCUCAACGCAAACAGUUCAUCUAAGUGAACCGCAUGCCGUAUAUCGCACACACCUUUGAUCUGGCUGGCCGUUUCUUUUGUGUUGCCUAAUCACAAAUAGUUCAUCCGAGUGAACCGUAUGCUGUACAUCGCACACACCUUCAUCUAGCUGCCCGUUUCUUUUGUUCCUCCUCAUCGCAAACAGUUAAUUGAGCUGAACCGUAUGCCCUGCAUCGCACACGCAACUAAAAUCUGAACCUGUUUGAUGCAUCCUCCAUCGCAAACGUUUUGCACCUUAUUUGACGGUUUUUUACACCACCGUUUGCAAUUAUGGCAUCGCACACAGUUUCGUCAAAGGGUCUCUGAUCGUAGUGUCGCGUUAGCAGCAUCCUGCAGUAGUGUAGAUCCGAUCUUGCAAGUCAUAUGCACCUGCUACGUGUUGUGAUCCUUAAACCCCAGGGUGACAGUAACUGGGAUACUUUCCGGUGAUGACCGUAGUUUCAGGAGUUCAUGUAUUCACUAUGUGUUAAUGCUUUGUUCUGGUUCUCUAUUAAAAGGAGGCUUUAAUAUCCCUUAGUUUCCUUAUGUACCCCGCUGCCACGGGAGGGUAGGACAGAUGAUGUCAUGCCUGUUUUUUUCUGUAAGCAUGUAUGACUAUUUAUGGAAUACAAGCCUACAUUAUAUUUUUGAACUGGAGCUAGUUUUGUAUCGGCCUAGGUUAUGACUGUUAUAUGAUGAAUAUCAUCCAACGAAUUCACCGAUCCAAUGCCUACAAGUUUUCCACAUAUUUUUAUUGCUGUGUUACUACUGCUACUGCUACUACUACAACUCCUACAAAAUUAUUGCUAUCACUGUUACCGUUACUAUUACUGUUACCACAGUUAUCAAAACUAUCAUAUUACUAUGCUACUGAUCACUUUGUUGUAGAUAUUUAAUCUCUAGGUGUGGUUGAAUUGACAACUCAACUGCUAAUACUUACAAAUAUUCUUUGGCUCUCCUUGUCUCGAAAAUAUAAAUUUGGGUUGAAUACUCUACCCUCGAAAACUGUUGCGAUCCUCUAUACUUAUGGGUUAUCAUACCCCCUACUCCCUAGGCUCAAGGCAUGUGGCCAGGACGCGUUGGCCCUAGGCUUCCCUGAGUCCCACUUUUGGUAUGUGUCUCGUCCAAUGAAUAGCAUUUGAUUUUUUAUGGAUUUUACCGAGUUCACGAAGGUUCAUGUACCCAUAGAGAUAAAAACAUGCAACUAGCCCGACUGACACUUUAUUAACAGAGUAAUCCAAAUGAAUAUAAAACAAUGUUUAAUUUGAUAAGAAAAUGGCAUGAGAACUUCAAAAUCUAUAGAUAUGUUUAGGGCAUAUCCCGCGCUAUGAGGAGAGCGGCUAAGCGAUACGUUAUGUCGCAUGAUGAAAUUAUUAAUCCGGAGGAAGAUAAUUAGAGCGCAUUGUGCCUGUAAAACAAGAUCAAAUAGAACCGUUGAAUGAUGUUUAUUUAAGGGUCAAGAUGUGUUUUUAUAAGCUCUAACUUGUACCUUUCAUAUUAGUAGGAAGAGAAUACUAGAGCAUGGAUACUUACAUUAAGCUCUCUAGUAGACUAGUUUGAAAUGUCAAGGUGAUUGCAUUGGCUGAGAAACUUAGGGUAUGGUUCAAUAUCCUAAUUAAUAGGCACAUAUUUCCGAAAGUGAUCUUCCGAGCUUGCGCGGUAUCCCCCCGCUUGCUCGCCUCGUGAUCCAGAAACACGAGCGUACAGGCCCAGGUGUUAUUCACGUAUAGUGUUUUUUGAACAGUUCACAUGGCCCACGUCUGCCCGCACGGCCUUACAACGCCGUGAGUCACCUGGGCUCUGGCUCAGACGUACGCAAAUGGGGUGGGCCGUUUUCGCGCCGAUUCUGGGCCAACGCCGGCUGCUGCUCUUUUACUGCUGUGCCGCUUCACCACCUUACCCAUCACGAUUCAUUCAUCCCCUUCCCUCUCGCUCAUUCUACUCUCCACUUAAUCUAGCGCAAUGUUAGAAAUAGAUUCCUUCCAAUGCUUGCUAAACCUAGAUUAGAUCAAGGAGAAACUAACCUUUGCGGAUACUCCAUCCACCCCGUCAAUUGGAUCUGAUUUUGUAAGCCCAGACAACAAGAGAGAUAGCAUGGUUGGAACCAUGGCGAGAGCUGCCUUCUAAUGGUCGGUCUCUGUUUUACCAGUAUAGAGGAAUGGCUCAGCCCAGGCAGUCUGCUCCGCUCCUUAUCUACUUUCUGCUGCUCAUCUUCCCGCUCAUGGUCUUUGAAAUUUGAAAGGGAUUACCACAAUAAUGGGCACGCGGUAUCCCAGAGAGCACGCACCUGUCAUUCAGAAAUACAGACACCAAAAAUUCAGAAACCAAGACUCGUUUUCAUAGUCAUCCAAUUUCCAAAAUGCAUCCUCACAUUGCAACAUAAUCCAGAAAUCAUUACAGUACAGGAGUUCUACUGUGGAACAUAAUUCAGAAACUAAGACAAUAAUCAAAAUUCCAUAAUGCAUCAUCACAUUGGAACAAAAUUCAGAAAAUCAUGACAGUCCAGAAGCUCCAUUGUGGCACAAAAUUCAGAAAUCAUGAUAGUAGAUAAGUUCUACUAACAGAACUACCGACGAACCCUCAUACACACAGUUCCAAACCAUUUGUAGCAUACAGUAGCUUCAGAUUAUACAUAGUUGGCAAAACAGCAGCUGAAUACACCCAGCAAGCAUGGAAAUAAAGAAGUUCUAGUGAUAGAACUACCAACGCACACAUGAUGUUCUACAAGUUCAUAGUCUAAACAAACAGAUUCUUAUAAUUGCUCACAGCCCAAUCAUCCACAGAUCACCCACUUUGUGGCAGUUGUUUCGCCUGUGCCCUUUGAUUCCACAAUUUUUGCACCUCGCUGGCUUGCGAAUAGGCUUCGGGGCAUCACCCCUGUCCGGGCACGUAGUCCUCUUGUGCCCCUGCUGCCGACAUAUGCCGCAGAACCUUGUCCGUUUGCUGAGCCCCUCGUACGGUGCCUUCUCAGGGCUGGUGGUUGGGCGUCCCAUUUCUUUCCUCUUCUUUGGCGCCAACAAACCAGCGAGUCUGUUGCCACUCUCAUAUGCAGAAGUAGCAUCACGAUUCACCGUAGCCAUAACUGCACCGCCACUUGCUGCAGCAAGAGGUGUUUGUACUGCUAGUUGAUUAACAACAUCUCCAUGUUCAGCUACUCUGUACUCCAAACCCAUGUCCCUGGUCCACCGUUUGACAAUGUGCUUAUGUGGUAUUUCCGUAGUACGGAUGAAAUCCAGCACCUGCAUUUUUCAAAUUGCUCAUUUAGUGCAUCACAGACUGCACAUAGUGUAUACACAUCUCAAAAACAUAUUCUCCAUUUUUUCAGAAACCAUACCUUCAGAACAUGGCUGCAAAGGAGCCCCAUGUGUGCAAAUUGCCCGCACUCGCAGUCGAAUUCCUCACCUCCUUCAAGAACAUUCACCUUAUAUGAUACCCUACACCAUUUUUCUCUCUGUGCGGCUUCCGUAUGAAUUGCAAGAUAUGGUUUCCCUUUCUCGAGCUCCUCCACUUGGUAUGCGCCGCACUCAUAGAGAAUAUGCACAAACUUCUCAAACAUAGCUCGUCUGUAUAUCUUGUCGGCAUGUCUCUCAAUAGCUAAGUUUGCUUUGUACAGUGGUCUGCCCUGAAAUAUUAGAUGCACCAAAUUAGUGACCAAAAAUUACUACUGCACAUCUCGUGCCAAAUUAUGAAAAAGGUCUUACUAUUCGUGUCCGCUUCUCCUCAUAGUUCUCCUCAGCUUCCCUGUCAAAUUGAAGUCUCAUGUAUUUCUUCACAAACAAAUGCAUUGUACAACCAAGCGGGACAUAGUUCUUCAGCAUGUGAUUCGCACUUUCGCUGCGCUGGGUGCUGGUCAUCUUAGCACAAAAAACACCUUUAAAAUAUGCACCUUUAUUAUGCUGCGCUGGGUGUUGGUCAUCUUAUGUCAUACAGUUGUGUCAUGUAGUUGUGUGUCUUCAGAUUGUAUUUCUCCACCAAUACCUUCCAACCUUCCUUGAAUUCAUCGAUUGUAAGCAUGUGAUUUACUACCUUGUGGAACUCUGCCCUGAACUCGCUCUUCUUGGUGUACAACAAGCCAAGUGAUUCCUUCGCCUUCUUUAGCACAUGCCACUUGCACCAUCGGUGUGCCAUUUGAGGCAUCACACUUUUAAUGGCGACCUCCAUCGCUCGGUUUUGAUCUGCACAACAACACCAAAUUGUAUUAGACAACCAUGCUUUCGUAACAUCAAUACAAACAUUUGUCACACACAGAGUAUGUACAGUAUGAAUUCACACCUGUCAAAAUGGUUUUUGGUGCACUUCCGCCCAUCAUCCUAACAAAUUCUGUGAAAACCCACUCAAAUGUCUCAACUUUCUCAUCACGGACCAAAACCCCAGCUAGGAUGAUGCUCUGGAAAUGAUUAUUGACACCUACAAACAGACCAAAUGGCAUGUUGUACAAGUUUGCUCUAUAUGUCGUAUCGAAGGUAACAACAUCUCCGAAGAAUGUGUACUGCAGCCUGCUACUCCCAUUUUCCCACAUAAGAGUCGUUUUCCACCCAUCCUGGUCCGCCUGGACACGAUACGUGAAGUGUGGAUCUCUUGAACCCAGAUCUACAAAAACCUCCAUCGUUUUCCUCACAUCAUCCUCUGCUUGCUCUCUGCUGAUUUUACCACACAAAUUUUUCAGAGCCCUUUUUGUGAAAGGAACCUUUUCCAUUGAACCAAAAAAGCUCCCAAUUAUACUGUGUACUUUGCCUAAAUUCACAUUGUUCUACCGUAAUUGCUCCACCAAGUCUCUUCUAUAGGCAUCAAUGUGCUUGUGGGACGGCCAGUGAAUCGUCUGCCCAUAUGUUGGAGAUAGCGAAUGAUUGUGUUAUUCAUGAUGUUCAUAUAGUAUCAACCAUUGUCCUUCGAACAAAGCAACCUUAUUAAUGCUGGGCAUUCGCAUCGGCACGGUCUAGUGUUCUCCACCCCUGCUUUGCCCUGCAAAACACCAAUCAUCAAGAACAUGCAAAAAUCAGGUUUCACAGACUCAAGAAGCAGACCAAAUUUAUGAAAUAAUCCAGGAGGGUACAAAUACAUACCGCACAUCCACAAACGAUUUCCUGCAUGCAUUUUUUUCUCUCCACAUCCAGCCUACUCUUCCCGUACCUUAGUCCAAAUCCCUUCUCCCAUGAGUAGAGAUUGUAAAAAUCAUAGGCCUCCCCAAGUGUAUCGAAGCUUGUCCCCAGUGCUGGCACGAUUACAAUGCUGCCUGGCUUGUCAGCAAAACCCCUUAUUGCCUUCUCAAGGGCGCUGGGUUGCCGAGGGCAAGGCGCCCUCCUAGGAGCAGCAGCUCCAAUUCUAACCCUGCAUUUUUCAUAGAUCAAUAUGUCACAGCUUGUAUGUGUACUGGAAUGAAAUCACUAAUAUCCUGCUUAUGCCUAGAUCCAGAGUUUUCAACAUUUCGAUCUCAUACUAAUUCGCUUUAUCCAUAAUCCACAACCCCUAGCAUUUUUGUGUCCCCCUCAAGCUGCAUAUCAGAAACCUUCCCAACGAAAUUGUGGUAUCCUGAUCCAGGACUGCUUAGCCUUUUUGUUAUCCUAGUACACCUACUGGUAGGCACUCAUGUUAAGGCUGCCAUCAUGACAUGUUUACCAAAUUCAAAUUAUAUUUGUGUUUCAUGAAUGACCAAUUUUUAUUUAUCAUGUCAAACAAGCCUGCCUUUUAGUCCACGCUCUAAUUUAUAUUCUUACUUUCCCUGUAUUCCAUGAUCCAAUUUUUGAACUGCUAGUUCCCAGCUCAAUUCCGCUAUCUAUCCCCUACUAUCAGAAUCCAGUAUCCAUAAACAAAUACCAACACUGCUAUGCUUUAUAUUAACCAUCUGUGCCUGCUAGUUUGCAAAGUACUGCCUAUGAGGGAAGAACACAAGCAUUUUCCAUAAUGUUGUAUACAGCUAUUCCAAUUUUCAGAGAAUCUUCUUUAUACAAAAAAUUCAUAUACAGCCUACUGCUAAACCGGUCUGACUACACACAAGUCAGAAUGUGGCAUUUGCAUAGUAUACUUCAAAGUGGACAAACACCAUUAGCCAAUAGAUUACCUGCGAGUCCAGCCAGGAGUUUUUGGAUCAAUUUGACCUAUGGAUUGCUCAGAUGCUUGCGGUUCAUCACCCCCCUCUGCCACGACUGUCACAUCCGCCGCACAAAUCUACCCGUCAAUGCUACCUAUGGCCAUUGGGGGCAGCUCUUCGGCUCCUGCCGCCACAGCUGGGUAGAGCAGAUGCUCCAUUGGUAGCUCGUUGUCGUUCACCUCCUCCAUCACCGCGGUCUUGCAGUCCACCAAAUCCAUGGAUGAGAGGCACAUAUCCACCAACAGGAACUCUCUUGAGACGGGGAGGGGCGGGGGUGUGAUGACCCACAAGUAUAGGGGAUCAAUUGUAGCUCUUUUCGAUAAGUAAGAGUGUCGAACCCAACGAGGAGCAGAAGGAAUGACAAGUAGUUUUCAGUAAGGUAAUGUCUGCAAGUGCUGAAAUUGUAAGUAGCGGAGUAGUUUGAUAGCAAAAUAAUUUGUAACGAGCAAGUAACGAUAGUAGUAAAAAAUAUGCAGCAAGGUAGCCCAAUCCUUUUGAGGCAAAGGACAGGCCAAAACGAUCUCUUAUGAUAAGCAAAGUGUUCUUGAGGGUACACGGGAUUUUCAUCUAGUGCACUUUCAUCAUGUUGGUUUAAUUCGUGUUCGCUACUUUGAUAAUUUGAUAUGUGGGUGGACCGGUGCUUAGGUCCUGUUCUUACUUGAACAAACCUCCUACUUAUGAUUAACCCUCCCGCAAGCAUCCGCAACUACGAAAAAAUUAUUAAGAAUAAAUUCUAACCAUAGCAUUAAACUUUUGGAUCCAAUCGCUCCCUUACGGAAUAGCGCAUAAAUUGGGGUUAAGCUUCUGUCACUCUCGCAACCCAUCAUCUAAUUGCUACUCCACAAUGCAUUCCCUAAGGCCCAAAUAUGGUGAAGUUUCAUGUAGUCGUCGUUCACAUGACACCACUAAGGGAAUCACAACAUACAUACUAUCAAAAUAUCGAACACAUAUCAAAUUCACAUGAUUACUUGCAAAAUGAUUUCUCCCAUGACCUCAAGAACAAAAGUAACUACUCACAAAUAAUAAACAUGUUCAUGAUCAGAGGAGUAUUAAAUAGCAUAAUGGAUCUGAACAUAUAAUCUUCCACCAAAUAAACCAUAUAGUAAUUAACUACAAGAUGUAAUCAACACUAAGCACCAAUCUAUAGUUCUGUUAACAAGAUUGAACACAACAGAUGAACUAGGGUUUGAGAUGAGAUGGUGCUGUUGAAGAUGUUGAUGGAGAUUGCCCUCCCCAAGAUGGGAGAGUUGUUGGUGAUGAUGAGGACGAUGAUUUCCCCCUUCGGGGGGGAAGUUCCCCCGGCGGAAUCGCUCCGCCGGAGGGCAAAAGUGCUCCAGCCCAAGUUCCGCCUCGAGACGGCGGCGCUCCGUCCCGAAAGUCCUCUCCUUAUUUUUUCUAGGUCAAAAUGUCCUAUAUACCAGAAGUUGGGCACCGGAGGUGGGCCGAGGAGGGCACAACCCACCAGGGCGCCCAUGGCCUCCCUGGCGCGCCCAGGUGGGUUGUGCCCACCUGGUGGCCCCCCUCUGGUAGUUAUUUGCUCCAAUAAUUCUUAUAUAUUUCAUAAAAAAUCUCCGUCAAGUUACAGCUUAUUUGGAGUUGUGCGAAAUAGGUGGUCUGGCAUAGCUUUUCUAGGUCUAGGUUUUCAGCUGUCGGAAUUCUCCCUCUUUGUGUGUAACUUGUAAAUUAUGAGAGAAAAGGCAUUACAAUUACUCCAAAAAACAUUAUUAUGAAUAAAAACAUUAUAAAUAACAGUAAGAAAACAUGAUGCAAAAUGGACGUAUCAGGGUGGUGGUGGGGGGUGGAACGGGGCUGAGGGAUUUCGUUUACCUUCUAAUCGAUUGCAUGAGGAACUCCAUCCGGGAAUCGCCGCCGAGUUUUCCUUCGGCCACAGACCUCGGCGGGCAUCAAUGGCGCUGCAGGAUAACGUUGCCACGGGUGGGAGAGAGCUCCUUCCAUCUGACUUGUCAAUUACUACGCUGCCCACCGCCCCCUACCGGAGAUCCAUUAUCUGAGCCACAGAUCGGGAGUAGAACAUAGACCCGAGCCACGGCUCAGGGAAUCUCCCGUCACGGCCCCAACCACAACCUCCGUCACCAGCGGUUCGUACGCCGCAGACCCAUUCGGUAUUCUUUCCUCCCAUGAAUUAAAAAGGAAGGAACAGCUGGUGAGAGACAAAUCUUGAAGCCCUAUCGAGUCGUCCUGAUAACACGAGCACAUGUGCUCGUGACUAGAACAACCGCGUCCCACAUAUUUCCAAUAAGUUUCUCACUACUAGACAUCUGAACACCAUUGACACUGACCAGUGGAAGCACAUUAGUGAUGAGGGUCAAUGCUGAUCGGCCAGUGGAAGCACAUUAGUGAUAUGUAUCCCUGGUCUUGGUUUGAAAGUUAUCAUUGACUGAUAUAAAAAUGACCGGUAUGUGAUAUGUUGUACCGAUGAGCACAAAUGAGCAAUUAUAAUCACUGAAUGGCGUCUCCACCUCACCCAUCUGUAUAGUCAACUUAAAUCUGACCCUUUUGUUUUUCCACUGGUCAAUGUUGUUCUGUAGAUAGCAUGUUAUAAUCAUCAGGCACUCCCUGUUUCCAUUCCUUACCUUCAUCGCCACCGUCCAGUCCCUUCCUCCCAUUGGCUUCCCUAUUACCCCUCCUCUCCGUCUGGCCGCUUAUUGGUGGAGGGCUCUCCAACGGCCCUGCGGCCUUCCUUCAAGGCCACAUCGUCAUGACGCAGGCACUGCAAGUCCUCUGAGCCUCGUGGCAGCGCUCUCUCGUUGGAUCGUUGCCGCAUUCUCGGACACCCCUUGCUUUGCCCCUGCGAUCUUCCUUGCUGCUAGCUAUGUCUCCCGCGCCUCGAUGCAUGGUGGUAGACCCGACAUGUACUGCACUAUUCUUCGGUUGCGGCGCCGGCCACGAUGGUGAACUCCAUCCCUUCACAACUAUGUUGCAAUUCAAUUAUGCUAUGGAUGUCAUGGAUGUGCUACAAUUCUAUGAUGCAUGUAAUUGUCUUGUUAUGAAUCCUACAAUUUCUAUGUGUUUCACGUACCUACGAAUAUGUCAGAAAUAUAAUCUGCCAUAUAUAUGUUAGGAAAUGAUCUUGCCGGGGUUGCUCUGCCCUGGAGUAUAUAUUAUGCAUGUUAUAUGUGACAAUAUAGUGAUGAAUAUUUCAUUGAAAAUAGUACAAAUGCAACCAACUCUCUCAUUAGGAGAUAUAGUGCAAUAUUGUUCAAUGACAUACUUGGUGCAUAUUAUUUGACUCAUCCAUGUCUAAUGAAACUCAACUAGGUCUAAAUAAAAUAAUACUAUUGCAGCUGCCAUAUAUUUUAGUUGCACUGCACAAAUUGAAAGAAGAGAUGAGAAAGUCUUAGGGGUAGUAGGCCCGAGCAACUUCGGAAUCCUCACUUUGGAUACGGGUGUGCACAAGUGGUAGAAGAGGUAAAUAGUUUCUAAGGAUCUGAAACAAGUGUCGGAAGAUUCUGCCAUCUCCAGACACACAACAAAUAUCCACUUGCUGCUUCUUGGAGAAACCGAGGGAGUCCUCGAGUGGAGUCUAUUAAACUUAGAUAUUAUAUUCUUAACUACAUCUGUAUUAAAUGAACCAAUGAAUAUUUUAAUUUAAUUGCCUUGGAAAUUUCGUGUGCGUGGACUUGCAUUUUAGUGGCACUGCACAAUAGAAGAUGACCGAGGGGUUUAUGAAGUAGGAGAGAGAUCGGUGAGAAAAUAUAUGACCUCCCUCUAGUUUGUUAAGAGGCUCAAAGUGCGUAACUUUGGCUAGUAUUCUUGAUUUGUUGGUUCACAAUCUUGUAUGUUAAGAGGCUCAACAAUGAAGCGUGUAUCUUUGGCUAGUAUUCUUGAAUUGUUGGAUGUAAGCCGUGUAAAUGUACAUGUGAAUUUUGUUACAAAAGAAAAACAAUGUGCAAAUGAAUGAUUAUGCCUAUGUAUUAUGUUCCUAUCUUUCUGUAAAUUUUGUUUGCAUUGCUAGUCACAUAGAUAAAUAAAAUGCACACAUGAAAAUGGUUAACAAUAUCAGUAUCACUGACCAGCUCGCGUUCAGAACUAGUACCACGUCACUGACCGGCCGUUGGCCGGUCUCUAAUGAGCAAGUUAUCACUGACCCCAAGGCACUAACUGUCGGAUUCUGGGUUCCGGCAAACCCUUGAGGUUUGAACUCUGGGGUGCGCACGAAGAACUCUCUCUCCCUAGAUCGCUCUCGCAACGAUCUCAAGGCCUAGCUCGCCAAACCCAAGGAACAAGAGAUAUGAGAGUUUAUACUGGUUCGGGCCACCACUGUGGUGUAAUACCCUCACUACAAAAAAAAGACACAUCCAUGACAUUUUGGGCCGAACGAAUUUUUUUCUAUCAUACUUAUGAGACUUCUAUGACGAUAAUUGUGACAAAACCCGGUAUCAUCAUAGAUGUGGUGGGGUCCUACUUCUAUGACAAAAAAUCAUGACAGAAAAUGGGCUUUUCGUCCUGGGCGGGCCAGAGACGCAGCUGCAUGACAUUCUUUGGGCCGUCCAUGACGGAAAAAACAGUGGUAGAAGCGAAGGCGAGGAAAAUAUCAGGGAGUUCCCAUUUACGGUGCUGGUCAGGGGCUGAGCGAUGUGCGUUUCUCUCGUACGUACGCGCGUGUGUGCGAGGCGUUGCACUCUAACUGAACCCGAGCGAGGCGUUGGGCUCUAACUGAACCGGAGCGAUUGCACUGCAGGCUACACGUUACUGAACCCGAGCGAUCGAUCGAUGGCUGUUUACUGAACUCGAUCGAGCGAUUCCUUCGUUCGCUACUGCUGCUAACUGAAGCCGAUCGAACCUGCUGCCUCCUUCCCUUGAUGAACAAUGAGCGUUGUUGGGGGGUUUGGAUGAAUACUUCCCGGUGGGGGGUUGGAUGAACAGGAGCCCGUGGUAGUAGAGGUCAUUGCCGCUGGAUGAACAGGACCCCAAUCGAUCGAGCCGGUGGAGGGGUGGAUGAACAGGACCCCGUGGAGGGCUGGAUGAACAGGACGACCCUGUGGAGGGCUGGUUGAACAAUAGCCGGUGGAGGGCUGGAUGAACAGUAGCCCGUGGAGGGGUGGUUGAACUGGACCCCGUGGAGAGGGCUGGUUGAACAAUAGCCGGUGGAGGAGCGCGCGGUGGAGGCUGGAUGAACAGGAGCCCGUGGAUGAACAGUCGCAGGUGGAGGCUGGAGGAGCUCGACGGUGGAUGAAUAGUAACCCGUGGAGGCUGGAGGAGGUCAACGGUGGAGAUGAACAGUAUCCCGUGGAGUCCCGUUAUGCGGUACGCCACACCCCUCCCGAUGAGCAGGACCCCCGUUUCGACCGUAGCGCUCCAACACAAGUCCGUUUCCUCCGUUUUGCGGUACGCCACACCCCUCCCGAUCAACAGGACCCCGUUUCCACCGUAGGAGGUCCAACAGAAGUCCGUUUCCUCCGUUUUGCGGUACGCCAGACCCCUCCCAAUGAACAGGAUCCCGUUUUGUCCGUGGCCGUUCGAACACAAGGCCGUUUCCUCCGUUCUGCGGUAUGCUAGGCCUUGUUUCCAUCGGCUGUUCCGUCCAAGCCAGGUGGCUCCCGAUGAACAGCACGCGUUCCGUUGCCUCCCGAUGAACACGACGCAUUCCGUUGCCUCCCCAUGAACACGACGACGAUGCAGUUUCUCCGUUCCGACCCAGCCAUGUACACGAGCCCUAGCCGUACGUAUGCGCGAGUAGGCGUUCGAGCCCCCGCCCGUAUGUACGUACGUGUCCGUAUUUACUUUCUUGUACCCUGGCCACUGUACGUACGUGUACACGCUACGUGCGUGCCUCUACUACGACACGUGUGCGCCUCUACUUCGACCAGUAUGUACAUACACGAUCGCGACUAGAAUGACAACGCUACGUACGCUUCGACCAGGUGGGUCCAGACUGUUAGGCACUUCCUUGCGUGCGAAGAUGUAGCUGGUGGGUCCCAGCAGUCAGGGGAUGAAUCAUUUUUUUCCGUAAUAUGGAUGCACUUCCUUGUGUGUGAAGAUGUAGCUUGUGGGUCCCAGCAGUCAGGGGGGAAACAUUUUUUUCAUGAAAUAUGAUGGCCCGUCCGGUGGGUCCCUGCUGUCAGGUGGAGGAAUCAUUAUUUUCCGCAUAAUAAGGAGGCACUUCCUUGCUGCGGCUGUGGACCCAGCUGUCAGCGUCUCCACGUACAGCACUCUUCCGAUGGAAGUCGAUCAUUGACCACAUUGACCAUGCCGCGCCGAGAGCACGAAGGCGGUGGACGACGGCGAGGCCUAGGAAGGGGACGACGCGGAGCUGGGGAAGACGCGACAGUGGAUGCCCACGCGGAGAGGAGUACGAGGGUUCACUGGUUUGGCUGCGGUGUGAGGCUGCCGUCGCCGCAUAAUAGCAGGGGGUGUGGGUGAGUGGAGGGAUGGCCUGGCCAACGGUGGGAGUAGUAGGGGGUGGUGAGGCCUCCGCGGCAGCACAGCUGGCCACGAGAGGCAGGAGCAGGCGAUAUGACCGGCGCUGCUUGGGGCGGCUAGAGCAAGAAGACCAGAGGUUGAAGAAGCACGACGGCCGUUGGAUGGAUAUCAUACUGUAACUGCAGCUAGAAUCGUUUAUAUUGACUAAGUUGACAAAGCCCUUGAUACACGUCAACUUAGUAGGCCCACAGGACAACUUCCGAAACGGUGCGCCCCAGAUGUCAAGGGGAGGAAUCAUUUUUUGGGCGGGUGAAGCUAGAAUAUCCGAGAUUGGAGAAGAAGCACGACAUCCGUUGGAUGGACAUCCAACGGCCACUUCUGCUAGAACCGUAUGUUGACUAUAAGUUGACAAAGCCUUGCAUACGUGUCAACUAUUUUUUUAGGGGACGUGUCAACUUAGUAGGCCCACAAGUGUGUGUGGCAGAUAACUUAUAGCCCAUUUUGAGAUUUGUAAGAAUGUACAACCCAUUUAUGAAUUCUAAUGGAAUUUACUACAGCCCAUUUACAGUUUGUUAAAAGUAUAGCCCAUUUUCUAGCUAGGACAACGAUUAAUAAUUUCAACCAACCGUUCAAAACAUAAUUCAAUAAAAUUUCCCACAUUUUGAUGGGAUCCGAAAUAUUUUGAUCCUGAAAUUUCUAGUCAGAUUAAAUACAAUUUCAAUAUAAAUUUGUAUUACGUAAAAAUCCAACGAAACAUUGCGCGCGCAACAAUUAAUGAAAUUAAAAUUUUCAAAAUCCAGAAAUAAUUUUUGAUAAAGUAAUUACGUGUUUAGUGCAUUUUUUAUAGUUACUGCCUAGUUUUUAUAAUUACAUCCCAUUUGUUAUUUCUUAAAGCCCAUUUUCUUGUUAAGCCUAAUGCAUCCCUCCUAGAAAAGAUUUACAGCCCAGCGGGGCGGAGAAUAACAAGUUGACCUUGCCUGGGUAUUCCUCAAAAAAAAGUAUAGCUGGGCUAGCCAUUUUUAGCUUGAAAAAAAUUAAUAUCUGGGUUGGAUAUCUGGCCUGGGCUAGACGGGCCAUAGCCGGCCCAGUUAAUACCCUUCUCUCCUCUAAACAACAACGAAAACAUCGCUCAAGAACAACUCUGUAGUGCUCACACGUCAAAAAGACAAAUAGUGCUCGAGCUGCUUGGUCCCAGCUGUCGGCCGCUCCUUGUGCAAUUCUCUCGUUUAUUGACUACAUAGGUUGACAAUGGUGUGGGACCGUGAUGUCAGAAACCAGAAGGAAGCAAAAAAUAUUACAGUUGUAUAUAAUAAGGAGGCACUUGCGUACGUGCGGCUAUGGCCCUGGUGGGUCCCCACUGUCAUCCUCUCCAAGUAAAGUCAUCUCCUCAUUCCUCAUGCCGUUGACUAUGUUGACAACACGAGACGGCGGUGCCACGGCGAGGGCCACAACUCGAAGGACGACAGAGAGGGCCUCGCGGGCCCUAUGGAUGGUCUGAUACAGCGCCCGCUGCUCCUUCGGGAAGCCAGGAUCAUAGUGCCACAUGUCCGCGACGACAUUGUCGUUCGCUUGUUCACCGGUGCUCGUUGAGGAGUCGGAGGUUACAGCACCGGUCAUCCUGCACUGGUAGCUCUUCCGCCAUUAGGGCGUCGAAGUGGGCCACACCUGCUCUAUGGUGAACACGUCAUGAACUGGCUUGGACAGUGGCGCCGGCUCCUGGUCGGAAGCUACAUCCAUCGUCUGAUUGUCGUCGCUCAGCUCGGUGAGCUAGUUGGCGAGCCAGCAUGUCCGGCUGCUGGACCGACCCGCCGUCAAGCAUGAGUCUGACUGCCCUGGCCCACCCAGACUGCCUCCCUCGCCCGCGCGCGCUUUCCGCCCGAAACGGUCAGCGCCGCCCGCCCCGCUUCCCGGUGCAGGCGAUUGCUCCGCCUUCAAACGACACAAGUGUCAUCCGUCCGCCCGUUUGCCGCCCACAUUAAUGAUACGCAGUUGCCGAGGCGGCUACUCCGGCGCCACACGUCCGUCCCUCCGCCGCCCACCAUUGCUAUAUAAACUGCUACGCCGGCCAUAGCCGCAGUCAUCCGCCUCCGUUCCCUUUCUCCUGUCCACACCACUACUGCCCACCAUGGCUUCCUCGCGCUCCAGCGCUCUUCGGGACAGGCGGACGACAGACCACAAGGAGAUGGCAGCCAUUGCUACCGACUGCCUGGCCGGCAGGCAGCCGGAGGACGACGACGUCCCAAUGGAGAACAUGGUAGUCGACGAUCCAGCGCCAACCCCCUCCUCUGCGCCAUCCUCGCCGGUGCAUUGCACCAUGACCAUCGGCGAGGCCCGUGCCCAAUACAUGGACACGGUGAGGCAGAAGCGUGAGGAGCAGUUCUGGGAGGCGCAGGCCGACGCUGCCUACAACCACCAUCUCCUCCAGGAGCACCUGCAGGCGGAGUAGCAGAUCACCGUUGAGCGGGGGGAGCAGGAGGUGCUGCUCGACUCGUACGGCUCCGCCCGCGCGGGCCACCUCGAGCGCUGGCGGUACCGCAUGCGGGUGGCGGAGGUUGCGGCCACCUACAAAGAGGGCGAUGAAGCGGGCGAGGCGCUGUUUGGCGAGACCGAGGACGAGGCAGAGGACAAUGCCGGCUCCGACGAGUCCCCUUUCCACUGGUGUCGACGAGGCCCUGCUCUGCCGAGGCCCCGCAACACCAACAACGAGGCACAGGAAAAUGCCGAUUCCGCCGAGGCCCCGCCCCGCCGGCACCGAGGCGGAGGCCCUACUCCGCCCCAUGGCGCCAACAACGGGGCAGAGGACACCGCCGGCUCCGCCGAGGCCCCGCCCCGCCGGCACCGAGGCGGAGGCCCUACUCCGCCGAGGCCCCGCCCGCCAACAACGAGGCAGAGGACAUCGCUGGCUCAGCCGAGGCCCCACCCUGCCGGCAACAAGGGAGAGGAUUUCCCCCGCUCCGCCGAGGCGCCGACCUGUCGGCAAUAAGACAGAGGACAUCGCCGGCUCCGUCGAGGCCCCGCCCCGCUGCCAACGAGGGCGCGCCACACAGAAAACGAGGAAGAGUAGAACACGGUAGGUCGCCGCCGCUUGGGUCCAAGUAAGGCCACCGCUGCUACCCUCUGGUUGAAGCCAAGCUAGGCGGGUUGACCAUUGAUGGCCGAUUAGCUUCUUGGCGGCGACGUGGAGUCGGAGAGCUAUGUUGGAGAAGGACGUUGCUUCAGUUACUUAACUGCAGGUGCAGUUGGGUCACUGGCAUGUGGGCCCAAGAGGCAUCUGGCCCACAUGUAAGUGACGCAACUACACCUGCUGUUAUGUCACUCAAGCUCAGUCCACUGGAGAAGAAGCUUCUGUUCGGCUCAGCCGGACACGGGUGCUACGGUUAAUUAAUUAUACCUCCAGCGCACCCCUUUAUAGUUGAAGAAUGUAUGAAAUGUAAUGAAAUCCAGCAUGUUUAUAUGAAAUCCGGCAGUGUAUGAAUGAAUUUAGUUCGAUUUGUUCGAAUUCUUGUAUCACUGGCAUUGGAUGAACAUGCAAAACAAUACAUACUAGCAUUAUUCCCAGGGUGAUCACCUCAUUUGCAGCAGUUUCACAUGUACUCCCUCCGGUCCUUUUUAGUCUGCAUAUAAGUUUUGUCUGAAGUCAAAGUAUCUCUACGUUGACCAAUCUUCUAGAAAAAAGUAUCAACAUUCACAAUGUAAAAUCAACUGACUUGAAAGAAAUCUAAUAUGCGAAGUAAAAAGGAACAGAGGGAGUACAAAAUUUAGCGUUCCUGUACAUUGCAAUCAACACACAGGCCUGGCAAUUCAUAGUGAACAUUCAAAACAAUCAAUGAUUAUGCAUCUCAGUGAUUCACAUGUCAGAGCCAAUAUUUACUUCACAACUAAAGAAUAAAGAAAAAUCGAUCGAUGCUGCUAACAGCAAAGGGCGUCACAUUCGAAAAUAUCAAACGCAUGCCUCCUUGCUAACAUCAAUGAGCAAAAUUUGACAAGGUUGUCCCAUUCCAAAAUGUCAAAUGCAUGUUGUUUUGUGUACAUCAAUGAGCAAACUUUGACAAGGUUUUCCCAUUCCAAAAUAUCAAAUGCCUACGAUUGUGGAAUGGGCAGGGUUUUCCAUCAGUUCGGACAUUGACAUGGCACCUCGUGCUAAAUAAACCAGCUGUUCUUUUUGUGAAGUUCCACCAAAAUCAACCAAAUUCGUGCGUAGCUUGUAUGAUUUUGCCUUUAUAUGUUGCAACGCCUUGAACAUGUCGGCACCUCCUUUCUUGUGGUGGAAAUGAAUGAUUCGAGAAUAUUCGAUGUAUUCGUGAACAUUUUGUGCAGUUCCCAUUGAAAUCAAGCUGAGCACCCCUGUUUGCAUAAAUACAAAAAAAGUGAUUAGUAUAAAGCAAACUGUACUAUGAAUUGACAGUUUAAAUAGUCAACCUACAUGAUCCAUGCAGAGCACACAUUUAAAACAAUGGAACUCACCAGAAGGAAUCGUAAAACAACAUUGUACUGGCCAUCACAGCAACAAAGAUGGAGAUCCGUGAGUCCUUCUGAGCUGAAGUUAGUUUGUUCUUGUGGGCAAUAAUGUAACCAUCCUUCAACUGCUCCCUUCUUAAGAAGAGAGGCUUGGCUUCUUUAUCCUGGCAUAAUCGGAACUAGGCACUUCACGUACUCCAUAUUCUUCUUCAGAGGAGGAUGAUCCUGUUGUGCAAAGACAAGAGGACAACUAAAUGCUAGCAUCCCUGUUUGCGCGAACAAAAAGAAAGGAAAUAUUUAAAACAACAUAGAUGAAGCACUUCUCAAGGACAAUACCACUUUCUCAUGACAGUAUCUAAACAGUAGCACAACACCAAUAAAGAUGACAAAGCUCAAUCAUAUGGAUGAAAUCCGUGGGCGGGUACCAACCUCUGUCAGGAGGCUUAUUCUGUAGAGCAUACAUAUCAAGCACUUCUCCGGAACCAUCUGUUGUUAUCUACUGUGGUUGCCAUGCUUACUAUAUACUCCUCGAUUAGUUAAUGUCUCCAACAUCUUCUUGUGCAGUUCCACUAAAAUAUAUGGUAUCUUCAAAGAAGAUCCCUGUUUGCACAAGUAGAGAUAAUUACAUAUUACAUUAAGAGUGGCAUCAAAUCAGUGGCAAAACAAUUGCUCGUUCCAGCCAUAGCAAUAAAUUAAGAUGCAAAACUAUACCAUUACUUGUGUCAUUACAGUUCCAGUGCUCCAUUACAGCACCGGGAGUUGAUUUUUGUUUUUCUUCCGCUUAUUCUUCCCCUUCAUCACUUGGUUCAAUAACAGACAAGCUUCGCCUUCAAUGUAAGAUUUGGCAUGUCAAUUAGGGAGCACAAGUAUAGAACUAAAAAACGAUGUUAAUUUUCAGAUGAAAGUGGCAAAAUACAGGCCAACAGUUGUGAAAUAUCCUUAUCUUACCUCAAUGGGAUAUUACGGUGCACAUACAGAUUGGAAGUCUUGUCUCAAUUUGUGCAGUUCCCUAAAAUCAAGCAACAUUAGCGUACAAGUAGCACAACAUAUGAAAGCACACUGCAAAGUCAUGUGAAAGAAGGCUAGUACUGACCUCUCAUGACGCGGAAUUCAAACAACUCACAAGAAGAAGAUCUGAACCAAAUUUUCCAACACGGAUAGGAAGUAAGAUCUCCUCUUGUGCAGUUCCACUAAGAUCAAGCAAUCAAGCAACGUUGUCGGUGUGACAUUUUGGUUGAACUGCACAAAACACUCUUAAAACAAAAGUGUUUUGUGCAGUGCAACAAAAGGUCACAAUAGCAACGAGGUGAAGUAGAUAACCCUGUUUACAUAGAGGUGCAAAGGAAACAACUAGUGGUCAAUAACGGUGGAUGACACAGAAGCCAUCAAAAAGAAGCAUCGAACUUAUCUAAAUGGGAAAGAAAGCAAGACAGUAGCAUUUCUCAAAUGGUGGCAUUGAUUAAUAUUAACAGAGAGAUUAUAUUGACAAUAAAAUUCGUUAAACAUGUAAUUUGCUUUUAACUAUAGCAUUGCAUCAAUUUUCCAGCGGCAUUAUUAGAGGGUGUUUGUUUACAGUGACAUUUUUGUGUAGGGACUAAAAAAAGUCCGUGUCAGUUCCAUCUAAACCAAACAGGAGGGACUUUUAGGGACUAAAGAAAGAAGACCCCGAGGGAGAGUCUUUUUGGGACUUUUUCCAACAGUUGCCCCUGCCCCGCAUCGCAGCUUGUCUCUAUUAGUUCAUUACUAGGGGUAACAUGGUCUUUUAGCAUGUCAUUUAAUAACCUCUAGUCCAUGUUUAGUCCCUGGAACCAAGCAGGUAGGGACUAGGGAGUUUUUAACCAAACAUGGCCUUAGAUUAACAACAGCUAAAGAGUUGCACCGGACAGUGGACGCACCAGCACCAUGUGCAUCUACCGAUGUAUGAAGGGGUGAUGCAUAGUCUUUUGCAACAAAGAACAAAAACAACCAAGGAGCAUAUUUGUGUUGGUCCCAGUUUUGUUAUCUUUAGACACCUUUCCCUAUGUGAGUGCAGCAAAUCUAGUCCCGCUCAAACUCUAUAGCCUUGUCCCCCAAAACAAAAGAUCAGUUCGUUAUAGAUGUGCGUACUGCGUUUGUCAUUGUUUCCCCUUUUCGACCAACGUAGGUGCUGGAUAGCCAGUCUAUACUAGUACUUUCCCCCCUUCCUUUCCUCUUUGAACCACGUCCUAGAUUCAUGCUAUACAACUUUCCCCACUACUUUCCUGUUUGAUCCAACACCUAGAUUCGAGUGCAGAAGCGGAAAAAGCCCACAUGCAGCUAGAGCAAUGCAUGUGGAAUAAGUAAAUUAUACCUUAAGGUUCUUGGGGUGUGGUUCGGUGGGCGACCGGAGGCCGUUCGGCCCACACUAUGUACGGCGGCGAGGAAGAAGGGGUCGGAGGCCCUCCCGCGCCGCCGCUGGGUGAAAGAGAACAGCUGCGCCGGUAGUGGAUUCCCUCCCUCGCCGACGGCGACAGUGUUAAGCCUCCUUCCCUUCCCGGCGGACGGAUCCUGCCAGCUCUUUGACCAGCAGUGAGGGGAGAGAGGCCAAUGAAGUUUUGUUUAGAUCUGGAGAGGGUGAGAGAGUGUGAAGAGAGCAACUACAAGCGCUGAGGCUCCAUCGUGUAUAUAUAUACUGGAGAGAGAGUGUGAAGAGUGCAAACCCUAGAAUACAAGCGCCGAGGCUGCAGCGUAUACGUGAUGAGGUGAUUAUAUGGUCACUACGAGAUCGUAUAGCUCCGUAUCCAUCCAUUUUGACCAAUCAAAGAAUCCUCCUGGCACCGCCCUAGAUCACUUUCUCUCUCUGUCAUGCGGGGCCUACCUGUCAUUGGGUGGAAGAAAGAAGUCGAACAAAAACAAAAUUAUGCUCAAGUGUAGUUAUCGAACCCGAGACCUCAAGUUUGAUGAGCGAACAGGCUAACCAGCUACACCAACCCCACGUUAUGUUUAACGAGAGGAAAAUAACCUUUAAUACAUUCAUGCAUUCGUGUGACAAGCAUGCCAUGUUUUUUUGAGUGGGAGACAUUGGGAUUUAAAUCAUAAUUGCGUCAUGUGGCUUUGGUGGUAAGGUCUUUUGGGAUUUAAAGCAGUGUUGGUAGUACAGAAAUAAUGCAGCCUUAGUCACCUUACUUUUCUCCACGUAGUACGUUGGGUUCCACCAGUCAGAGGGUGAAACAAACAAACUAAUAAGAAAAAUUAAAAGCGCCAGCGGUGUAUCAUACCUCACACAUCUCGCUACUGCUUGUGAACACUGUCCAAUUGAUCCCUCUGUUCGCUCACGUACUAUUUUAAGUGAAUCCGUAUUAUAACAUGCACACAAUUUUGGGCACUUGUAUUCGACCUAAGUCAGUGUGCCACCGUAUCUCGUACUACUCCCUCCGUCUAGGUGUAAUAAGUCACGUUAGAAGGUGCAGCGGGACCAAGGUGCAAGCAGAUUUUUUUUCGAAACGAGGUGCAAGCAGAUUGGAGGAGAAGGAGAAACUUGACCAGUCCUUCCUCCAAUCAAAGCCCUGAUUUCUGUCUCUAAACGCAACAAUUAAUCACAACAACUACCAUGCAGGGCCACGUAUUAACUCGCAUGCAAGCCGAGUUUGAUUUCUUGACUGAUCAACGCGUAGUUGCGCUCCAUGCAUUGGGUUUUCGGGGGAGAGUAACAAUGCAGAGUAAGGCUGGUCAUACUGGUGAGUAACUUGGACUAGUAACAUGCAUAUGUUACUAGUCUAGGUUACUACUAGUACCUUCGUCCUGGUUUAUAGGUCCCCUUUGUAGUAUGUGCCAAAUUUUGACCAAAGAUUUAACUAACAAAAUGUUAAUGCAUGUCAACAAAAAAUAGAUCGUUGGAUUCGUAUUUGAACAUAGUUUUCAAUGAUAUAAUUUUUUGUGACAUGCAUGAAAAAAAAAUUUAGUUCAAUCUAUGGUCAAAAUUUGACACGAAAUACAAUGGGGACCAAUAAACCAGGACGGAGGUAGUACCGAAGUUUGCCGUCGGAAGCGAGCCGAUCUGGCUCUCAUGAGCUAGCAAGGUUUUUCUAGCCCACCCAAGCUAGCUGGCCCAAAAAAGCUAACAUAUUUUAACAGUUCCAAACGCCUAACCUUGCCCGGCUAGGCUUUAAACUGUUCUUGCUAAGGAUCCAAACGCUCCCUAGUAACUCGCACGAUAUUCCUAUUCUAUGAACCUGUGUGUGUGUGUGUGCGUGUGUGUUUAACAGCAUGUGUGUGUUAGAGAGAGCGACACAUCGACCUACUCCUACAGAGAGAUGGUGUGUAGUGUACGAUUUAGCCGCGAGAGUCGGUGCAUCCUCUUCCGGGCGUCCGGUCGGGACAGGCGGACCGCUGCCACGCCCGCUCUUGACCAGCCUGGCCCACCCAAAGCCCCUCCAUCCACUACUAGGAAAAGGCCUACUAGUGGCGCACCAGUUUUGCCUACUAAUGGCGCACUACUGGUGCGCCACUAGUACCACGCCACUAGUAUUUUUUUACUAAUGGCGCACCAGGCAGUGCGCCAUUAGUAUAGGCCAUGGUGCGCCAUUAGUAUGCCUCCCAGGGGGCCAUAUUUACCCAUGUGCUUUGCCAUACUAAUGGCGCACUGAGGGGUGAUGCGCCAUUAGUAUCCUUUGGCAUACUAAUGGCGCACGUUGGGGUGAUGCGCCAUUAGUAUGUAUAUUAGGGAUUUUUUUUCUUUUCUGAUAUUUGCACAGAUUACAAAAUAUAUUAUUGGACAGAAUAUAAACAGCACCACACAGCAACAGCAGAUUCAUUGAAUACAAUAGAAGAUUAGUCUCCGAAUACAAUUCAUCAUAUUAGUCUCCGAAUUCAAAAGACCGAACAAAGAUAGAACAUUACAAGUCUCGAGACCGCGAGUAGCGAGUUUGUCGAAAGUAAUACUAAUCCUAACAAGUCCUACUAACCAUCAUCAUACAACUUCUACUCGUUAUUAAUCCAGGCGGGUAUCCUCGGGCCUGCAUCCUUCAUACAAUGGAGUAACCGCGUCUAUCUCCAGUUGAUCCAGGCUUGGCUUUCUCUCGGGCGGCAGCUCUUGCGUUAUCUGUCUGCUUGAGAAGCAGCUCUUGAAUAUGAGGGUCCUGCACCCAGCCCAUCGAUGGUCCAUCGUCGUCUGCUCCGCCGGCAUCUUCAUCUUCAUGAUCAUGCCCUUCGUCUGCUCCGGCAUCUUCUACAUGAUGACUGUGUACAGCAUCACCGUCGUGAUCAUGUCCUGGAGAUUCUUCGUCUUCUCGCCCGCCCGAGCCGCGGUGGUUGUCUUGCUGCCCUUCCUCAUUUCUUGCCCGGCCCCCAUGGACGACUUCAUAGUCAUCUUCAUCACCUUGCCACCGAUAGCCAUCCAUGAAACCACGCAAGAGCAGGUCGUCCCGCACCUGCCCGGAAUCCGGGUCCGCAAUAAGGCUCUUCAGCUUGCAUCUUCGACACGGACAUCUUAUCUCCGUCUCGUUCUUUUCAAGCAUCUCGGCCUUCGCGGAGCUCAAAAACCUAUUCACGAUGCCUUCGGUCAUCGUGCGGACCAUGGUCGCCUGUGGGGUAGAGCAAAACGAUAUUUUAGAACCAAGAAAAAAUUUGGCAUGACUUUCCCUAAAAAUAGGACCAAAAAGAAUGCAUAGUGCCAAAAUUCUCACCAAAACGGAAAUGAAUCAACAUUCCGGCAAAAUAUUGGCAACUAUCGCAUUUCAAAUACCGGUACCUGCAAACACAAACAUAUAUGCAACACCACAAACAUACAUAGAUCUAGCUAGGCCAUAAAAAGUGCAUGUGCACGUUGUUGGAGGGAGAACAACAUAAAGAUAGCUUCCCCUUACUUACCUAUCAAAAAAAGGUAAUUUAACCACUUAAUUUGGAUGAAUUUAUGGUGCAAAUGAGGUGAGGAGGAGGAGGCAGCCGAGACAAGCUUGGAGGAGGAGGUGGAGAGAAUGAAGUGGGAAAAGUGAGUGGGUAGUGUGGCUGUCCAAAAUAUCUAGCUCGUCCCAGGUUACUAAUGGCGCACCACCAACAAAUGCGCCAUUAGUAACCCUGGUUACUAAUGGCGCACCUGCUGGUGGUGCGCCAUUAGAAGUUUUGCAAAAAAACACACUAAUGGCGCACCAGGGAACAGUGCGCCAUUACUAGUUUAAACUAGUAAUGGCGCACUGUUCCCUGGUGCGCCAUUAGUAGUUUUGCAAAAAAAUAAAAAUAAAAAAAAUAUAGUAGUGGCGCACUAUGAGGCUGGUGUGCCAUUACUAGUUAGAACUAGUAAUGGCGCACUAUGCCCUGGUGCGCCAUUAGUAUGUUUGGAAAAAAAAUUGUUACUAGUGGCGCACCAGCCCAUGGUGCGCCACUGCUAUAUAGUAGUGGCGCACCACAUGUCUGGUGCGCCAUUAGUGGCCAUUCCAUCUAUAUCCCUUUUCCUAGUAGUGAUCGCCCGCGCGCGCUUCCCGCCCGAAACGGGCAGCGCCGCUCCAAAGAAUCGGUGCCGCAUUCAUGCCCGGGAAGAGCGGACGUGACCUCUCACUGGCGCCUACAUUGAAGGGAGAAGCGGAUUCAAGAGUGAUGGUUGCUUUGUCCGGCCAACUUACUGCUGGGUCUAUGUGAUUUGACGGCUCAUUGGUCAUUAUUACUGAGGUGGUAGGACUGCUGGAUGUCCAACGCUUUCGGCGAAAGGAGGUACUACUAGAUUACAAUUUUCUCCAUUCUCAAUGGAGGAGUGCGAGAGCAGUGAAAACACACAGGCUCAGUGAUUACAUGGCCCACCUCACACUAUCACCAUAUUUUCUGGACACCGUGCGACACCUAACUCUUUACGUACUACUAGUAUAGUACAUACUAUAAUUUAUCAACGAGAUAAAUUUGUACAACGCUAUGAAGCUUCCAGCUUCUAUUUCAUGUAUCUUGCGUCCAAGGUUGCCCGUUGCAACAUUUCAUCAAAUACAAAGGAGACUAACAUGCAUGCUAUUGCAUCUCAAUGAUUGACAGAUCAUAGCCAAUAUGUACUCCCUCCGUUCCAAAAUAAGUGUCUCAACUUUAUGCAAACUUUAGUACAAAGUUGUACUACUACUAAAGUUGACACUUAUUUUGGAACAGAGACAGCUAAAGAAAAAAAGAUCCAUGCAGUCCCUAGCCCUUGAACCGUAAACCCUAACUAGGCUUUAAUUUGCUGGCAACGUUGGAGCUUCCGAAGAAAUGAAGUUUGCAACCCUUUGACCAUCGGAUCAUUUUGUGCAGUUUCACCAAAAUCGAGAUGAGCAUCCCUGUGGCAAAGAAAUUGAAGAAGCGUGAUUAUAAUAAGAUUACUGGUACUAGUUGAUGAGACAUAAACUCAUCACAAAUACAGUACGUAGAAGCCAGUAGAGGUAUGUGCGGGGCAAAGAAGUAGAGAAAUAUCCACAUGGAGUGAUGUGGGCAGCUGGAGCAGUGGUGCAAGCCGGCUGUAAAGGGAAUUGUACCUGAGGGAUAUCGGGACGUAGCUCAAUCUAGAGGAGGACGACGGGAGGAGGCAACUGCCCACGUCGCGGCAGUGAGCAAUGGACGAAGCCAACCUCACCGACUUUGUGAGAGAGAACGGCGGGGACCCCUGAUCGGGACGUGCUGCCAGUGGGUUUUCGCCGUCGGUGACGGUGACCGCAUCUACACUAAAAGCAUCAACCCCUUCCUCCGGCGGACAUGAUCCGCCGGGAUGUUAGAGAUGUGGCCACACUCGUUUUGUGCGAGAGAGUGUGAAGACUGAAGAGAGCAACCCCAGCAAGCAACCGUGUAGGCUCGUCCUGCCUAUGUAUAUAGUGGAGCGGUUUCCUUUUCUCUCCAUAUGAACCUAUUUAUACUGCGUACGUGCCACUGAAGAAAAAAAAAUUAUUUAUAAAUGAUGCGGCACCUACUACUCGUUCUCCUAUAAACCUUGCGCUUGGCAUCUCCAAAAUAUUAACCUUGCGAUUGGCUCUUGGCCUCUUCGGAAAGUCGAGCAAUAAUGGUACUGCAGUAUAUAUCAUUCUGGCUAUAUGAGACCAAAUGAAUUGCUGCACGCCACCACGUGGUCGAGGGUCGAGGGCGAGGGAGAGUGCGUACUAUUACGUCUGUUUCAAUAUGGACUACAUACGGAGCAAAAUGAGUGAAUCUACACUCUAAAAUACGUCUAUAUACAUCAGUGUUUGGAGUACGUACUAGUAGUUCAUAUUGAAAUCUACUAAACGACAUAUAUUCUAAACAAUAUGAUAAUCUCUCUAACCAAGGUAGGGACGAGGAGUAAAUGGAGGGAGUAGUAAAAUUUUCUCCUCGUCCUGCGAGCCACCGCGCGCGUCGGCGAGGGAGUGGGCGUAAGGUGUACUAGUAAGCAAGCUUCACCUCAUCCUGCGAGCCACCAUGCCUGUGGGGGGGAGACGGCGUACUAAGCAAGCUUCUCCUUGUUCUGCGAGUUGACGGGACACAUCAAAAGUACUCCACUGUAUAGAGCCUUGCCUCUAAGGUAGGCCCCACAUGGUUUGCCUCUUUUUUAACAUAACGCGUCAAGUCGCAAUUUGUUUGUUCACCCUUGGUAGACGAUCCUCCAUCAAGUGGACAACCAGUACACAUGUCAAAUUACCACGUGGGCUGCCUUUUCAUACAGAAAUGAGCUCCACCAUGUACCCGCGCGGGUGUGGUUGGGCAAGAGACGGGAGUACGUGCGCCGUGCGUGCACCUCUUCUCUUCGUGCAUGUCCCCCACCUACGUGGGUGUGUGCGAGAGAGAUACAAACCUAGACAGAUGGCGUGUGCGUUCAUGAGUGUUUUUUGUUUUGGGGGAGGGGGGUGGUGAUUUCGUGAAUGUAUUUGUGGGAAUAUGUGUCGAUGACAUCUCAAACAGAAUUUUGCAUGCAAUGUGUGUGAAAUAGAGGCAUAUCCAUAUCAUAUAGAGAGGGCCAGAGGGGGCGAUCCACGAGAAGAGAGGGAGGGGUCAUAGAUAUCGAUAGAGUCGAAGAGAGGAUCAAGUGGGUGGGUGCGAGAUGGAUGAAGAGAGCCAUCGAAAUUGUGUGUGUGCAAGUCAAAGAUAUAGGGCGACUGACCUCUACCAGAACGUCAGAGGGCACAAGGCAAGUUUGUGUGUGGCAGGGAGACAUGACUAUAGCGCUCGAUGUAUCAGUGUGUGGGGGGGUGGGGGGAGGGGGGAGGCAGAGGCCUAACUAGAGAGGUAGAACGACUCGUAUAUGUGUUGAGAAGGAGAGACCCAGCUAUGUCUUGUGGGAGAUGGGUCGACAUCCAUACAUAACUGAAGGACGGGAAAUAGGUUGGGACAGAGAGAGAGAGAGGAGAGAGAGGGAGGGAGAGGGGUAGAGUGCUGGAUGGGUGAUGGAGUUGCUUCUCGAAGAUGGUGGGAGAGGCCUACUAGACAAACUGAGGGUAGAACUGCAAUAUUAUCAAUAAGAGUGGGGAUGUGUUUCUAUGUGUGCCUAUGCGUGAUAGAUCUGUUGGGACGCAUGCAUGGAUGAUGAAGGGGAACCAUGUGUUUGCUAAGCAAACCUAACUAGAUCGGUAGAUCAAUUGUUGUUUGUCGGAGGAAGGGAGAGACAUAACUAAUGAGGUAGAUCGAUCGACGCGUGGGAAAAAACGAGUUAUAAGGACAUAGCUGGCUAUAUGUAUAGCGGGAGAUUGGUCAGUGUACAUCCAUUUGUUAGAGGCAAAUAAGGCCCAGCGAGACGGAUAGACAGAGAGAAUGGAGCUAGGAGGUGGUGCGAGAGGCCGAGCUACUAGCUAGAUAGGGGGAGGAGUGUGCGGUUGUGAGAUCGAUGAAAAGAGGGGACAGAGUUUAAACGUCUGUGGGACCGUAUGAGAGACACGAGGCAUGGACACAGAAAGGUGGAGAUGGAAGGUGCGUGUGUACGUAUGUUGUAGGCAGACGCUGGAGAGGUUUAUCGAUCGGUGUGUGUCGGAAAGGAGUUGUGGAGACUGUGGGAGAACGACCUAAAGAAAAAAAAA
Molecule: long non-coding RNA, 77338 nt
Filed under: Triticum aestivum (bread wheat)
Lineage: Eukaryota; Viridiplantae; Streptophyta; Magnoliopsida; Poales; Poaceae
Description: long non-coding RNA (TAES_LNC018256)
Source: RNAcentral